AGACUUACCUGGACAAUUUAACAGAAGCUUUAUACCAUGAAUACUCUUCCAAAGGAAUUUUUAUACAAAGCCUGACCCCUUUUUUUGUGGUUACAAACAUGAUAAGCCCAAUGUGUACAUUUUUUAAGAGAAAGUCUAUACUGGUUCCUCUGGCUAAAGACACUGCCUAUCAAGCUGUAAGGACCAUAGGACUAUGCCGAAGGACAACAGGAUCCUCUGUUCACUCCCUCCAGGUAAGGAGAAGUGGAAGAAAAGUGAAAAAUGACAGACAUUCAGAAGAACAGUUUAGGUAAGGGCUUGGCAAAAGGUAGAUUCUAGAUGUUGUAAAACUGCAACUGCCAUGAUGCUUGCCAGUCUUUACACUGUAAAAACAUCAUGGAAGUUGCCGUUUUACCACAUCUGGGCAAUUAGCGUUUGUGCACCCUUGGUUUAGAUCAUAUGCACAUACAGUGACUAAAUAAUGCAUCCCCGGCCCAUGCGUUGUAACUGCCUGGGCCGCAUUGAAGGGGCCCAUCGGGUGGCCCAUGCUAUGUAUUUCCAGGGGGCCUGGUCAGCUCUUUAACAGCGCGACCGUGCCCCCUCUGAUGAUGUCAGAAGCUGGGAGGAAGUGACUGCCCCGGUCACUUCCUCCCAGCAACCACCGGGAGCCAGGAGAGGAAUGAGUCAGAGUGGGAACUCUGACUCCCAUGAUACUGAGCCACUGGACCCCAGGGAAUAGUAUGUGUGUCUGUAUGAAACUCUGUAUGUAUGUAUGUCUGUGUGUGUGUGUGUGUGUGUCUGUAUGUAUGUGCAUUUAUGUCGGUCUGUGUGUGUGUCUGUAUUUAUGUACGUGUGUGUAUAUGUCUGUGUGUGUCUGUAUGUAUGUCUGUCUGUGUUUGUCUGUCUGUAUGUGUGUCUGUUUGUAUGUAUGUAUGUGUAUGUGUACUUGUAUGUAUGUGUGUGCGCCUGUAUGUGUGGGUCUGUGUGUGUCUCUGUAUAUGUGUGUGUGUCUACAUGUGUAUCUGUUUGCAUGUGUGGGAGGAGGGGGGUACGUAUGGGAGGGGCACUGUAGACGUAUGGGGGAGGGUUGCGGGGGGGUAGACGUUUAGGGGUGGCCCCAGGUCAAUUUUCGCACAGGGCCCCGUGGUUAUGCCUCUGUGCACAUAACAGAGAAUAUACACUCAUCAGCUCUGAAUAUGUGUGUGUGUAUUCAUGUGUAUCUGUUUGCAUGUGUGGGAGGAGGGGGGUAUGUAUGGAAGGGGCACUGUAGACAUAUGGGGGAGGGUAGAUGUAUAGGGGUGGCCCCAGCUCAAUUUUCGCACCUGGCCCCAUGGUUUCUAGUUACACCUCUGUGCACAUAACAGAGAAUAUGCACUGAUCAGCCACAACAUUAAACCUGUCACACCUCUGGCUGCCACGCAGCAAUUUCAGUCUCAGGUGUGAGUUGACUGGGGGUCCAUGCCUCUUCUGACUGUUCUCCAGUUCCGGCAACAAGACACGCUCCUUACGUCGCAGGGUUGCCAGGUAACAAUGGAAACCCUACGUGUAGUGCAGGCAUCCUUAAAGUUACAGGACCCUACAAAACACUACAUUUUUAUUAUAAAAAUUGUAAGGGUAAUAAUUAGUGGACACUUCUUUUCCCUUUCCAAGUCACAACCCCUUGUGUGAUUUGGAACAUGGUGAUGAUGCUGUCCAAUAGUGUUUAGGUUCACCCUAUAUAUAUUUUCCUCUUCCUAUUUUUGCAAAGCUUGUUUCUUUUGCUUGGAUAUCUAUGCUAUUUUUGAAGAGAACAUGUCAUCUGUAUAAUAUAUUAUGACUGCUUGAACCCUCAAGUACCUAUGAGGGCUGUCAUGACAAUGUUGAGGUGUCUGUUGUCUGAGAUGGCGUUCUGAGAUAAUUUGCAUUCCUGUUACUGACCCAGCUUUGUUCUAGCUAUUCUGUUUAUCUGGUAUCAUUGAUUCUCUGUGUGUUAGAGUCACCCUAUCCUGACAAAAAACACUGACAGGCGAAGUGAAAAAGAUUGAUUAUACUCACCAAUAUGGAUACCACACUCUCCUGGGUCCCAGGACGCAACCGGGCCUGAGAUUGGCCAUUCCUCACAAUGUGAUUUGGCUUGACAAAGGCCCUGAGCCGUUGUUUCAAUUUUGCUCCAAUAAAUCUGACCAUUGGAUUGUACUUGAGUGCCUGGAUCAUCAUUACUUUUUGGAUUAUAAAGGCAUCUGUAAAGCUGCAGUAGAUAUUAGGCAACAAGUGAACAGUCAACUCUUGAAUUUCAUGUGUUGGAAGCAGGAAAAAUGGACAAGUGAAAAGCUCUGAGUGACUUUUACAAGAGCAAAAUAUUAAUGGGUAGAUGACUGGGUUAGAGCAUUUCCAAAAUGGCAAGUCUUGUGGGGUGUUCCCGAUAUGCAGUAGUAAGUACCUACCAAAAGUGGUGCAAGGAAGGACAACCAGCAUCAGAGCCAUGGGCAUCAAAGCUUCCCUGAGGCACGUUGGGAGUGAAGUCUAGCCUGUUUGGUCCAAUCACACAGAAACCUCACUGUAGGUCACUUUGCUGAAAAACUUAAUGUUUACCAUGAUAGAAAGGAGUCAGAACACACAGGCCGGUCAGAGUGCCCAUGACAACCACCGACCAUACCUUCAAUGAGGACGUGAAUGUCAGAACUGGACCACGGAGCAAGGUUACCUGGUUUCAUGAAUCACGUUUUCUUUUAGAUAAGGAUGGCUGGGUGAGUGUGCAUUGUUUGCCUGGGAAAGAGAUGGCAGCAGGAUGCACUAUGGGAAGAAGGAAGGCUGUCAGUGGGAUUGUAAUGCUCUGGGCAAGGUUCUGCUGGGAAACCUUGGAUCAUGGCACUUAUGUGGAUGUUAUUUCGACACGUACCACCUAUCUAGAGAUUUUUAGACCACUCCAUGACAAUGGUGUUCCAUAAUGGCAGUGGUCUUUUUCAGCAAGAUAAUGCACCUGUACACUGCAAAGUGUUGGCUUUGCCUCCAGAUUCCCCAGAUCUCAAUUCGAUUGAGCAUCUGUGGGAUGUGCUGAAACAACAAAUCCAAUCCAUGGAGGCCCCACCUCACAAUUUGUAGGACUUAGGAAUUAAAUUGAUCUGCUGCUAAUAUUUUGGUGACAGAUACCACAAGACACAAGUCCACACCUCGACACAUUAGAGCUAUUUUGGAUAUUAGACAGGUUGUUUUCAUUUUGUGACUGAUCAGUGUAAGGAUAUGAAGAAAUUGUGUGAGAAUUAACUCAUAGACAGGACUCCUGUCUAAGCUCCAUGUGCAUUUCAUGGUGUCCACAAUUAGUUGAUCGGAUAUAGCCCAGGAAUUAUGUAAUAUAUGAAUUUCAAUUAAGAAAUAACUUGUUUUCUGUCUAAAUGUUUUAAAUCGGCAUAGUUAUGCAGUCCUAGGAAGUUAAUUGGUGCAUGGGGGCUGUGAAAUUGAAUGUUGAUUAUGAAUUGGAGUCUUGGUUUGUAGAGUUCCAAGCAGUAGAGGAAUGCAAUCAGUGGCACCUUCCGCUGGAAAAGUAGUCUGCUGGAGGAUUAAGGGGCUUGUACUUGUGUAUGAAGUGCUUUGCAGAGGAGGUACAGGGCCCCCUUUAGGAUUUAGGGUGCCUUCUAUUCAACACACAAUGCAAUCUUUCAUGAUACACUCACCCAGUAUCCACAGUACUCCCCAGUACCUUGAAGAAUAAAUAUAAAGUAACAUAUAUUAAACAGUCACUAUUUGAAAAACAAGGACAUUUAACUUUAUUUCAUUUAAAGAGGAACUGUGACUUUCCAGGAUUUUUUAAAAUGCUUACUUAUCCCCUAUUUUAAACAAAUGUGUGUUUGUGAGAUCUGAAAUAUAGAAUUAAAUGUAGACAUGUACACUUACUUUAUCCUGCAAUGGAAUAUGAGAAAUAAAACCAUGUUUCAUUUUGUCCUUCUCAUUUUCAGUGUUUUACCCUGUCUGGUCUGAAUUAUAGGGACACUAGAAUCACAAAAACAACGUUAGCUUUAUGAGGCAGUUUUAGUGUAUAGACCAUGCUUCUGCAGUCUCACUACUCCAUUUUCAUUUAGGAGUAAAAUCACAUUGUUUCUCAUUUUGUAAUCCAAUACUUUCCAAAGGGAAAGUUUGAAGAUGCGUGCGGCACUCACCGCGCAGGCACAUUAGGUUUAUAUUCCUGACAUCAUAGGAAAUCCAACUCUGUAUCUACAGUGUUAGAAAGUCUCGUUUGGAAAGAAAUGUAGAAGAUAGAAACAAAUUAUGUACAACAAAGUGACCUAUAGUUACCUUGGAUAGAAUAUAAAAAUAAAAACCUAUCCUAAUGAUAUCAAGUGACGAAUUGUGACAAACUGCCCGAGAUGGGGGAUUCUAUGCACAUCACCGUAAUCUUAGUUAUGUUUUUGUUUUCUUAUUUGUCCUUGUCACAUAUUCACACACUACGGGAUCUCUGUUAUUUUAAUGUAGUUCAAUGUCCUGUAAAAAUAUGUAAAAAAAAAAAAAACCUAACAAACUAAUAAAUACAUUUUAAGCAAAAGAUUAAAAAGGAUUCAUCACCCUACUAAAUAAUCUUUAUUUAUGUAGUGUUUGUAGAGAGAUUACCAGUUGCAUUUACAAAGAGAAAAGUGGGUGAAUUAAUUACCACAAAAAUAGUAGUACACAGUGUGUCACUUCUAUCAUGUGUUCUAUAUUAAAUUAAAAGCUUUUAAGUAGCUGGAGUGUGUUAUUAUAAUCUCCUUAUGAUCUUAAAGCUAGCCCAUAUAUUGAAUAUCUCUUUGAGAUAGAUAAAUUGUGCUGGGACAUACAAAAUCUCACCUAUAAUUUCCUUAUAGCAACACCAGGUCAUGAUCAACUAGGUAUCAAUGUACAUAUGUCACAGAUAUAAGCUCAGGGUAAUCUAAGAUCAAAAUGUGAAGAAACAGAGGAAAUAUCAAGAAAUACCUCUGCGUCCAGGUCUAAACCUGGGACCUACUCAAACACAGGAUGUAUCCCGUCCCGCCUCCUUGGCUGAGAUCAUCAGAAUGGACUAUCAUAAACAACGCAAAGUUUUCCUAUGGGAAAGCAUUUUGAUUGGCUAAGAUCGUCAAUUCUGAUGAUAUCAGUCAAGGAAGCGUAUCAAGGCAAAGCCAGCAGCAGUGGACUAGUGCGGCACUGAAAAUAAAGUGAGUUUACACUAUAUUUAGGGGAAUAAGGGGGCUAAAUAGUGUUUUUAGAAGUAUAGGUCCAGGAAUACACAUUUGUGUUCCUGAGCCUAUAGUGUUCCUUUAAAUGAAAAGCUUCUAAGUAGCUAGAGUAUGUUAAUAUAUUUUCCUUAUGAUCUUAAAGCUAGACCAUAUCCCGUGUAUCCAUAAUCAAAUAACAUCACAGGCACCUCUGUCUCCAGAUAUAUUGCCAGAGACCUAUGGAAUAGAGUUGAGCGAACCCGGUCUGUAAAGUUCAGGUUCAUACCGAACAUUACGGUUUUUGGACCCUGGACCCGAACACGGACAUAUCACUGUAUGUUCGGGUUGGAGUUCAGAGUUCGGCAAUUUAAUGGAGCAUUUUUUAAAGGCUGCAGGGCAGCCAAUCAACAAUCGUUUGACAUGUGUGCCCUUAGAAGCCAUCACAGCCAUGCCUACCAGGGCUGACACAGCUCAAGGUCUGGGCCCCCCGGUGGCUGGACCCGAGUCCGCCCAAAGUGCUGCCCCCCCUUGAGUCUGCCCACAGGGAUGCAGUGUCUGUACUGAUUCUGGUGUGUGUAUAUUGGAUGUAGAAUGUGUGUAGUGGAUGCAGAGUUCGUGUGUAAAGUGGAUGCGGUGUGUGUUUAACAGAUGCAGUGUGUAUAGUGGAUGCAGAUUGUACAUAAUGAAUUGUGUAAUGUGUUAGGUGUAUAUUAGAUGCAGAGUAUAUGUUUGUGCAGUGGAUGUAGUGUGUGUUUAUAGUGAAUGCAGAGUGUGUGUGUGUUUGUGUAGUGGAUGUUGUGUUUGUGUGUAUUAAAUGCGAUGUGUAUAGUGAAUGCAGAGUGUGUGUGUUGUGUAGUGGAUGUAGUGUGUGUGUAGUGAAUGCAGAGUGUGUGUAGUGGAUGUAGUGUUUAGUGAAUACAGUAUGUGGAUGCAGUGUGUGUGUGUGUAUUGUGAAUGCAGAGUGUGUCUUUGUGUAGUCGAUGUAGUGUGUGUGUAUAUUGACUAGACAUAGGCGUGCGCACGGGGUGUGCCGGGAGUGCCUGGGCACACCCUAAUGCCCGCGGCACGCCUAUGUAUAUUGAGACCGGCAGGGGAGAUCUCAGGAUCUCAGGAUCUCCCCUGUCGGCUCAUGCAGAGCCGGCGCUAUCCGAGCGCCGGCUCUGCUCUCAGCCUCCCUCCCCACUGACCCACAUGCAGGGAGGGAGACAGGAGAGGACCCGGCGGAGCUCUUGCCGGCAGCUCCGCCGGGUUCCUCUUGCGAGAUAUGAGCGUUGCCACGGCAACGCUCAAAUCUCGCGAGAGUGAACUCUAGCCCCACAGGGGGCUAGAGUUCACUCUCCACUGGACCACCAGGGAUCACAGCAGCAAGGAUCCCCUCCUCCACUGGACCACCAGGGAAGGAAGCAGCAGCACGAUCCCCCCUCCCUACAAAAGGUAAGAAGGGAGGGGGGAUAGCAAAUAAUGUACCCCCACCUCCACCCCCCACAAUCACCCACCCACACACAUACAACACACACACAUACAGCACACACACAUUCAGCACCCACAGACAUACACAGCACACACAUUCAGCACCCACAGACAUACACAGCACCCACACACACAGCACCCAGCACCCACACACAUACAGCACCCACAGACAUACAGCACCCACAGACAUACACAGCACCCACACACAUACAGCACCCACACACAUACAGCACACACACACAUACAGCACACACACAUACAGCACACACACAGCACACACACAUACAGCACCCACACACAUUCAGCACCCACAGACAUACACAGCACCCACACACAGCACCCACAGACAUACAGCACCCACACACAUACACAGCACCCACACACAUUCAGCACCCACAGACAUUCAGCACCCACAUACAUUCAGCACCCACAGACAUACAGCACCCACAAACAUACACAGCACCCACAGACAUACACAGCACGCACCCAUACACAGCACCCACAGACAUACACAGCACCCACACACAUACAGCACCCACAGACACACACAGCACCCACAGACACACACAGCACCCACAGACAUACACAACACCAACACACAUACAGCACCCACACACACAUACAGCACCCUCACACACAGCACACAAACAGCACCCUCACACACACACAGCACACUAACAGUACCCUCACAAACACAAACAGGACCCUAACAAACACACAUACAGCACACUACCAGUAUCCUCACACACAAACAGCACCCUCACACACAGUACAUUAACAGCAUCCUCACAAGCACGCACACACAAACACCCUCCCCCACAUAGCACACUACCAGCAUCGUCACACACACAUCACACUAACAGCACCCUCACACAGCACACACACACACACAGCAGUGUGUGUAUGUGUGUGUAUAUAUAUAUGCGGCGUGUGCUUGUGCUUUAGGGUGCACACCCUAAUGCAAUAGGAUGCGCACGCCUAUGUGACUAGAUAGUGUGUUUGUGUAAGUAUUUAAUGUGUGUAUAGUGACUGCAGACUGUGUGUUUGUUUGUGUAGGGAAUGUAGUGUGUGUAGUGACUGCAAAGUGUGUGUGUAUGUACUGCAUAGUGUGGCUUUGUGUUACGAAGUAGUGUGUGCAGUGUUUGCAGAGUGUGUGUUUGUGUAGUGGAUGUAGAGUGUGUAGUGACUGCAGAGUGUGUGUGUGUGUUUGUGUAGUGACUGCAGAGUGUGUGUUUGUGUUAGGAAGUAGUGUGUGUAGUGACUGCAGAGUGUGUUUGUGUAGUGGAUGUAGUGUGUGUAGUGACUGCAGAGUGUGUGUUUGUGUAAUGAUGUUGUGUGUAAAUUUUAGUGAAUAGUGUGUGUAAAUGUUAGUGAAUAGUGUGUGUGUGUGUAAAUGUUAGUAUAUAGUGUGUGUGUGUGUGUCUGUGUGUGUAAAUGUUAGUGUAUAGCGUGUGUGUGUGUAAAUGUUAGUGAAUAGUGUGUGUGUAAAUGUUAGUGUAUAGUGUGUAAAUGUUAGUGCAUAGUGUGUGUGUGUAAAUGUUAUUGUAUAGUGUGUGUAAAUGUUAGUGUAUUGUGUGUGUAAAUGUUAGUGACUAGUGUGUGUAAAUGUUAGCGUAUAAUGUGUGUGUGUAAAUGUUAGUGAAUAGUGUGUGUGUGUGUAAAUGUUAGUGCAUAGUGUGUGUAAAUGUAUGGGGCUGCAAAAUGUAGGGGGAAAAGCCUACACUGAGCAGUCCGGGCCCCCCAGGACCGCCGGGCCCAUGACAACCGUUAUGGUUGUCAUGCCCUGAUGGUGGCCCUGAUGCCUACUAAUGGCAUGGCUGUGAUUGGCCAGUGCAGCACGUGACCCAGCCUCUAUAUAUAAGAUGGAGUUGCGUAGCGCCGCACGCAUUUAAGCUCUUAUUAGUGUAGGGACAGGAUGCUGCCGCUUUCAGGGACAGCUAAGGAAAGAAUUCUGCAAACUAGUACAUUAGUGGGGUGCAUUUCAUAUCUGAGAGUCAAAUAGAAUCGUCAAAUACUGCUGUCACAUUGCAGUUUUAAAACUUAAAAUUUUUGGGGUGCUAAAAAGUACAUUAGUGGGGUGCACUUCAUAUCUGAGAGUCAAAUAAAAGCGUCAAAUACUGCUGUCACAUUGCAGUAUUAAAACUUAAAAAUGUUUGGGUGCUAAACUGCUAAAUAGUAUUUUAGUGGGGUGUCCUUCAUAUCUGAGAGUUAAAUAAAAGCGUCAAAUACUGCUGUCACAUUGCAGUAUUAAAACUUAAAAAUGUUUGAUGGGGCGUGGCCUGGAGAUCAAUCGCGGCGGUCGCAUGCUGCAGUAGCUCCGGCUACACAGGCCUUUAUAUUAGCACCACAAACCCACAAACCCACCAAGUACCUGCAACAAUGUCCAAACAGAAGGGCAGACGGCACACCGACAAGGGAGACGGGACGAGCUUCUUCACCGCCCGCACGGCACGGCAAAAAAUGGCGGGAACUCAAGAGGAGGCCCAAGAUGGCCCAAGAUGGCGACGAUCCUGCCGAUAUCCCAUCCCCAGCCACAGAAGAUGCCCCAGUAACUACAAAGGAUGCUGGACACCAUGCAUGCCAAGCUGCAAAUCACUCUCCAGACUUCCCUGAAAGACAUAAGGUCAGACAUCCGGGAGCUGGGGGAACGCACUUCCACACUGGAAGAAAAAAUGGCGGACCACGCCGAAGCAUACAAUGACAUGAGAGCCACCAUGGAAGACAUACAAAACAAUAUGGCAACCUUUGAAGCCAAAAUUGCCGACAUAGAGGACGCAAUAACCUCAGAUUGAGAGGGAUAGCGGAAUCCGUUGGGACGGUGGACCUGCAUGCCCACCUACAGGGCCUAUUCAAAGCCCUGGUACCGGACGUACACCAAGACAUGUUGCUGCUAGACCGCUACCACCGCAUGCCUAAACCGCGAUUCCUAACCACAGAUACACCGAGAGACGUGCUGGUGCGGCUACAUUACUUCCACACCAAAGAAAACAUCAUGAGAGCAAGCAGGCAACGUCCAAACCUACCACCUCCAUACCAAGGAACGGCGAUAUAUGCAGACAUCUCAGUGGCGACAAGAAAAACCUUCGCUGGCAUCACAGAACAACUGAGAAUAGACAAGAAACCCUACAGAUGGGGAUUCCCAGUCAAGCUCUUAAUCACCAAUGAAGGGAAAACUACCACCAUUAUGACCCCGGAGGCCGGAGAGCGGGCCCUCAGAGACUGGGGCCUACCGCCGCCACGGGACCAACACAGCGCAACAGAAAGAGACAGGCUCAAUCCGUCGUGGAAGAGAGUCUCUAAGAACUGACUGAGAGAACCCACAUGGGUCACAAGCAGUGGCAAGUACCACACAAACUGUUUUGGGGACUGAUAUAAUAACGGGGGGAACAGCUUACGCAGGGUCAGGGGUUAACGAGGGCAUCCCACCCAAACCCCAACACACAGACAGCCACGCUACACGGAAUGACUGAGGUGGCAAGACUGUAAACAGAGGCCCAAUGCCAGGCACAGAAGGCCUAAGAUAGGGGCAAACUCAACACCAUAACGAGCAAAAUACAAGUCCAACAGACUGAAUCGCACAGGCAUGGAAGCACACCACUUCCUCCCCCACUGGGGAUCACACGGCACUAUGUUUUACCAUUCAUGUUUUAGUUACCAUGUUUAAACUGUUUAAAUUUUUUGUUUUCUAUGUUUCACAUUGUAUGAUUACCAUGCCAAGGUUCCGCCAGGCAAUACGGCGAGCGUACAUACAGAGAAUUGAAAACCAGGUCCACCAGGGAGACACCACCCAAGUUGAGUAAGCUGGGAAGGGGGGUACUCCCGCAAACAAGAAAGAUGACGAUACAGCCAACCGAAACCCCAAGGUACAACCCACCAUGAAAAUAUACACACACAACACAAAAGGCCUUAACCACCCAUCUAAAAGGAAUCUGCUCCGCAGAGACCUUAACUGACACAAACCGGCAGUAGUGUGCCUCCAGGAAACCCACUUUAAGACAAACGCACAUGCACCACUAUUCUUGCAAGACUAUCCCUACCAAUACCACGCCACACACACAAGCAAAUCGAAAGGGGCCUCCAUACUCAUUAGCAAGGACAUAGCAUUUACCCUCACCCACCUAGAGAUAGACGAAGGGGGGAGAUAUGUAAUAGUGGUAGGAACAUUCAACAAUGUGGAAUACACGAUAACAAACAUAUAUGUUCCAAACCAGGAGCAAAGGAACUUUAUACACAAAAUCAUCAAAAAAGUAGACACGGCACAAAGGGGAAUAGGAAUCAUAUGUGGAGACAUCAACCACGUAAUGGACCCCACAAUAGACACCACAAUAGCCCCCAACGCUCCAAGAAUGAAACCACUCAGGAGACAGAGCAAGGCAAUACGCAAACUACUUCACGAAAACCACUACUAUGACAUGGAGGGCAACACAUGUGGCACACAAUACCUAUUCUAGGAUAGACAGUAUACUGUAAAAAGGCCAACACUUAGAACAGGUUAAAGACUGCUCCAUAGAACAGAUCACUUGGUCAGAUCACGCCCCAGUAGUAGCGACCCUAGCUGACCUAUACGAAUCCUCUCACAGGAGCCCAUGGAGGCUUAACGAGUCCCUCAUCGCAGACCCAGAAUUCACAAAAACGGUAGAAAAAGAAUUAACACACUACUUAAUUGAAAACAACACAGAACACAUCCCCCAUAACACAAUAUGGCAGGCCCACAAAUCGGUGAUCAGGAGGACGCUAAUAAAGAGAGCAGCCUUCCUAAAAAGAAAAGCACAAAAACAAAUGAGAGAGUGGCAAAAAGAACUCCAGGACCUCACAAAUCAGAACCAAUCUACCCCAACACAAGAACUAAAAACCUGCAUCAUGGGAAUAACACGAGAAAUACACAAACAAGCCUUAGAACAGACUGGCCACUACUUAUGUAAGCUUAAAGCGACCCAUUACUCACAAGGAAACAAGGCAAGCAAACUAGUAGCGCAACGCCUCAAAGCGACACAAAUAAAACACAAGAUAGCAUACCUCACCACGGAAGCAGGACACAAAGUAACAGCACCCAGGGACAUAAGCAACAAUUUCGCUAAAUAUUACACUUCUCUAUACAACCUAGCGGACGACCCACACACACAUCAACCACAAACACAGGACAUAAAAACCUAUCUAGACACAAUACAACUACCCACUUUCACAACUCAACACCAACAAGCACUAAAUGCCACAAUAACACAAGAAGAGGUAACAACAGCCAUCCUCGGCCUGCUGUCGGGCAAAUCCCUAGGCCCGGACGGCUUCGCCAACGGUUACUACAAAAAAUGUCAUAACAUCCUAGCACCGCACCUAACGAACGCCUUCAAUGAAGCCACCCGCCUCCAAAAACUACCCGCCGAGACACUGCUGGCACACAUUAUCACACCCACAUGCCCACAAAACUUCCGCCCCAUAUCCCUAUUGAACACAGAUGCCAAGCUUUACGCGAAAAUCUAUGCGCAAAGACUGGGCUCCUUAUUACCACACAUUAUACACACAGACCAAGUAGGGUUCAUCAAAAAUAGGCAAGGAGGCGACAACACUAGGAAAGUCAUGAAUAUCAUACACAGCGCCCAACGCAUGAAGGUGGGGAGUGUGCUGUUGUCGCUGGAUGCGGAGAAGGCCUUUGACCGGCUGGGCUGGGAGUUCCUGGAACAAGUCCUUCGAAAAUUCGAGGCACCAGAGGGCUUCCUCUCAGCGGUCAGGGCACUAUAUAGCGCUCCCACCGCACAGGUCUUAAACGCGGGAUUCGUAUCGGAGCCCCUCACCAUAACCAAUGGCUCUCGCCAGGGGUGCCCCCUCUCACCACUACUAUAUGUGAUGGCCUUGGAGCCGCUGGCGGCGGCCAUACGGCAAAACACAUCCAUCCAUGGAGUGGCAAUAGGGGACAAGGAAUACAAGGCGAACUUAUUCGUCGACGACAUCCUGCUAACCCUUACCCAACCACACAUGUCUCUACCAAAUUUGAUGGCCACUAUAACGGAAUACGGAAAACACUCAUACUACAAGCUAAACAUAAACAAGACACAAGCCAUAGGCGUGGGGAUCCGGGAAGACACAUUAGAGAGGCUCAAAGCCACUUUCCCCUUUGAUUGGAGGUCUGACCACUUGACGUUUUUGGGCAUAAAAAUCCCACCGAAUCUAAGCAAACUCCUAGACAAAAACUACAUAGCGCUCAUGAAAGAGAUUGCCACCACACUGGAAUCCUGGACAGGGAAGUACCUAUCCUGGGUGGGGCGACUGUCGGCGAUCAAAAUGAUGCUGCUACCUAAGCUCCAAUACUUACUACGCACCCUCCCGAUACAACUGCCAAAAACGUACAUAUCCUCCAUGCAGAGACUGUUUAACCGCUUUGUAUGGGCUAAUAAGAGACCUAGGGUAGCUUCAGGGAUCCUACAACAAUCGGUCAUGAGGGGGGGACUAGGCCUACCAUGCAUAAAGACAUACUAUAGAGCAGCCCAAUUAACAGUAAUCAAAACAGCCACAGCGGAGGGGGAACCAUUACAAUGGGCCCAGAUAGAAGCACACUGGGCAAACAAACAAACAAUAUGGGACCUCUUCUGGCUCCCAGGAUCCCUACGUCCUAAACUUUUCCAACCCCUACCAACCACAGCCCUAACCCUAAAACACUGGGAAGAGCAGAAAGCUGGGGGGAGAGACCACGGAGCCAUAAAAGGACAAGCCCCAAUCUCAUGCCUGGCGGUGGGCAUCCCUUCCCUUGACGUCAAAAUGUGGAAGGAAGGGGGCUGCACCACGAUCAGCCACUUAUAUAGAGACAAUAGCCUGAUACCCUUCCUAGAACUCCAAACCCAAUAUAACCUGCCCAGCAAGGCACUGUUCCCCUACCUACAAAUCAAAUCCCUACUCGCAGGAAUCAAACUACAACAAGAUGAGCCUUUAACAACACAUAAGGUAGAAAACCUCUGCCUAACAGACAGGCCCCCGAAGAAAAUACUCUCAACACUAUACACGGCCCUAAUGGAGGAUCAGGCAGAGAUCGAAAAGAGUUUCCAAAAAGCAUGGCACACGGAACUGGGGAAAACACUGGGAACAGAUGUAUGGAAGCGGGCCUUCGCAAUACAUAAGGGAAACACACGGUGCACCACACACCUAGAAACCAUACGAAAGCUACAAUACAGAUGGUACAUGGUGCCAGAAAAAUUAACAACAAUAUACCCCAACACACCCAGUAUAUGCUGGAGGUGUGGAGACACGGAGGGCUCCAUGAGCCACAUAUGGUGGUCAUGCACAAAAAUUAGGCAAUACUGGGGGGAGGUGGGAAAAAUUGCAGAAGACAUAUUAGAUAGACCAUGGCCUCUAACUAUAGAACAAAGCAUAUUAUUCAUGCUACCAGCCGCAAUAAGUAAAACUGAGGAAAAGCUUAUAUUUCACCUGCUCAUAGCAGCAGUAACACUCAUGGCGCGGGCAUGGAAGUCCCCAACAGCGCCUACAAAAGAGGCUCUCCUAGAUCAAAUCUCCCUAAACUGGAAAUAUGAGCUGAUGGCAAACAAACACUUAGGAACGCAAAAACAUACGGAAACAGCAGGGAGGCGUUGUCAGGAGUACAUACAAGAACAAUAAGCUCACCUUAAAACCACCAAGAGAGAGCGACACCACCAGGAAGGGGGGAGUGAAGGCCCAACAAGAGAAAACCCACGGCAACCAGCAAAAAAACAACACCAGAGCAGGGCCACAUAACAGAGCAACUAACACGACAGGGCAAUCAAAGCAACACAAGUAAGAAGAAACGAGCCCCAAGAGGGCAACACGUGAUACAAAAGAGUGAAGGGGGGAAAAUCACCUGGGAAAAAGAGGGAAGCGAAGGGGGGACGAACUCUGAGGGAACCUAUCAAUGUACUGUACAAACCCUAUGCUGUAACAAAAUGUCCCUGCACUAUCCCGUUAUAUUCUGUACCCUGGCGAGCAGGCGCCAAAAAGCUAACCAAUGUGAAACAUCAAUAAACAUAUUUUCAAAUUGAAAAAAAAAAAAACUUAAAAAUGUUUGGGUGCUAAGCUGCUAAAUAGUAUUUUAGUGGGGCGUCCUUCAUAUCUGAGAGUCAAAUAGAAGCGUCAAAUAGUGUGCUUUCAGUGCAGUUGUAAACAUUCUGAUUGUUUUGGUGCUGAACUGCUAAAUAGUACAUUUUGGAGCCUGCUCUUCAUAUCUGAGAGUCAAAUAGAAGCGUCUAAUAGUGUGCUUACAGCGCAGUUGUAAAAAUUCAAAUUUUCUGGGUGCUAAUCUUCUAAAUAGUACAUUUUGGGGCAUGCACUUCAUAUCAGAGUCAAAUAGAAGCGUCUAAUAGUGCGCUUACAUCACAGUGGUAAACAUCCUCAUAGUUUUGCUGCUAAUCUGCUAAAUAGUACAUUUUGGGGUCUGCUUUUCAUAUCUAAGAGUCAAAUAGAAGCGUCUAAUAGUGUGCUUAUAGCUCAGUGGUAAACAUUCUAAUUGUUUUGCUGCUAAUCUGCUUAAUAGUAUAUUUUGGGACCUGCUCCUCAUAUCUGAGAGUCAAAUAGAGGCGUCUAACAGUGUACUUACAGCGCAGUUGUAAAAAUUCUAAUUUUCUGGGUGCUAAUCUGCUAAAUAGUCCAUUUUGGGGCCUGCACUUCAUAUCUGAGAGUCAAAUCGAAGCGUCUAGUAGUGUGCUUACAGCGCACUGGUAAAAAUUCAAAUUUUCUGGGUGAUAAUCUGCUAAAUAGUACAUUUUGGGGCAUGCUCUUCAUAUCCAAGAGUCAAAUACAGGGAGUGCAGAAUUAUUAGGCAAGUUGUAUUUUUGAGGAUUAAUUUUAUUAUUGAACAACAACCAUGUUCUCAAUGAACCCAAAAAACUCAUUAAUAUCAAAGCUGAAUAUUUUUGGAAGUAGUUUUAGUUUGUUUUUAGUUAUAGCUAUGUUAGGGGGAUAUCUGUGUGUGCAGGGGACUAUUACUGUGCAUAAUUAUUAGGCAACUUAACAAAAAACAAAUAUAUACCCAUUUCAAUUAUUUAUUAUUACCAGUGAAACCAAUAUAACAUCUCAACAUUCACAAACAUACAUUUCUGACAUUCAAAAACAAAACAAAAACAAAUCAGUGACCAAUAUAGCCACCUUUCUUUGCAAGGACACUCAAAAGCCUGCCAUCCAUGGAUUCUGUCAGUGUUUUGAUCUGUUCACCAUCAACAUUGCGUGCAGCAGCAACCACAGCCUCCCAGACACUGUUCAGAGAGGUGUACUGUUUUCCCUCCUUGUAAAUCUCACAUUUGAUGAUGGACCACAGGUUCUCAAUGGGGUUCAGAUCAGGUGAACAAGGAGGCCAUGUCAUUAGAUUUUCUUCUUUUAUACCCUUUCUUGCCAGCCAAGCUGUGGAGUACUUGGACGCGUGUGAUGGAGCAUUGUCCUGCAUGAAAAUCCUGUUUUUCUUGAAGGAUGCAGACUUCUUCCUGUACCACUGCUUGAAGAAGGUGUCUUCCAGGAACUGGCAGUAGGACUGGGAGUUGAGCUUGACUCCAUCUUCAACCCGAAAAGGCCCCACAAGCUCAUCUUUGAUGAUACCAGCCCAAACCAGUACUCCACCUCCACCUUGCUGGCGUCUGAGUCGGACUGGAGCUCUCUGCCCUUUACCAAUCCAGCCACAGGCCCAUCCAUCUGGCCCAUCAAGACUCACUCUCAUUUCAUCAGUCCAUAAAACCUUAGAAAAAUCAGUCUUGAGAUAUUUCUUGGCCCAGUCUUGACGUUUCAGCUUGUGUGUCUUGUUCAGUGGUGGUCGUCUUUCAGCCUUUCUUACCUUGGCCAUGUCUCUGAGUAUUGCACACCUUGUGCUUUUGGGCACUCCAGUGAUGUUGCAGCUCUGAAAUAUGGCCAAACUGGUGGCAAGUGGCAUCGUGGCAGCUGCACGCUUGACUUUUCUCAGUUCAUGGGCAGUUAUUUUGCGCCUUGGUUUUUCCACACGCUUCUUGCGACCCUGUUGACUAUUUUGAAUGAAACGCUUGAUUGUUCGAUGAUCACGCUUCAGAAGCUUUGCAAUUUUAAGAGUGCUGCAUCCCUCUGCAAGAUAUCUCACUAUUUUUGACUUUUCUGAGCCUGUCAAGUCCUUCUUUUGACCCAUUUUGCCAAAGGAAAGGAAGUUGCCUAAUAAUUAUGCACACCUGAUAUAGGGUGUUGAUGUCAUUAGACCACACCCCUUCUCAUUACAGAGAUGCACAUCACCUAAUAUGCUUAAUUGGUAGUAGGCUUUCGAGCCUAUACAGCUUGGAGUAAGACAACAUGCAUAAAGAGGAUGAUGUGGUCAAAAUACUCAUUUGCCUAAUAAUUCGGCACUCCCUGUAGAAGCGUCUAAUAGUGUGCUUACAGCGCAGUGGUAAACAUUCUAAUUGUUUUGCUGCUAAUAUGCUAAAUAGUACCUUUUGGAGCCUGCUCUUCAUAUCUGAAAGUCAAAUAGAAGCGUCUAAUAGUGUGGUUACAUCGCACUUUCAAAAAUUAUAAUUUUUUGGGUGCUAAAUAGUAAAUUUGCGGCCUGCGGUGCAUUUCUUACAGUCUAAUAAAUGUAAAAAAAAAAAAAAAUAGUUGACUGUUGGCAGUUACAUUGUCACCUGACAUAAAACAUCUGUUAGUUUGGUGGGUGAACGCAAAGAAUGAGGAGAGCGUCAAAUAAGGGACAUGGCCCUGGUCGUGGUGCUUCUGGUGUUGAUGGAAUCCCUGCUGCAAAGAGAGGACGUGGUCGAUCUGUGCCAGCUACACGCACAAGUGGAACACCUUCCUCAUGUGUGAGUACGCGACAUGUAUGUAAGUAGUGGGGAAUUGCUAUGCGGCAUAAUACAUAAACCAACCCAAAUCCUCCCCCUACUAAAAUAAAGACAGACAACGUAGUAUGGAUGAAACAGGCCACAGCAUUUAUUAUACCAUAUGACAAAUACUGUAUGACACCUCCAUAAUUUAUUUAAUAAAUUUCUCUUCAUUUCUGUAACCAAACAUUAAACAUGAAUAACCAUAAAUUAACAUAUAUGCAUAUAACUUAACACAUAGUGUCAUACAGCGAAUCCAACCGUCCUUGCCAAUAAACUGACCAUGCGCCUAUGUGCGACUUCCUCUCACCUCCCCCCUCGUCAUAAAAAUCAUUUCCUUCCAAUGCCUGCCAUCAGCCGACCUUAUCCAUGCUCGAUGGGCGUGACACCCCAGGUAACCUAAGGUUAACCCUUUGAAGCAGGGGAGGUUGAGACCAUAAAAACUUGUUCAUCUCAUUCCAUAUACUUAAACGUAACCCCUCAAACUCAAUUGGCAAGGACAUAUCCCCGCCACAACCCUGCUGUUUUAUGCCUAAAAUCAGCAGGGGGCCCCACCACAUGGCCUGUUCCACCACUUCCUGGAGCGCUAGAUUAACAUAGGCCUAGUCCGACCUCCAUCAAGCGCACCCAUCCCCUCAAGAUAACUAGGCCGUGUCCCGCUCAAAACCCUAAGGCGAACUGGAAUCCCCCAAGCCCCCAAGACAAACUUAGAAACCCAUCUCGCCCAAUUUCUGACGGCAGUGCACCAGGGCGAAAACAACUCCGGAGACCAGCAGGGUGAACCUAAGGAACCUGCCACCCUGACUCCCCAUUUGCGUCUUUGAACUAUUGGCGCAGGCACGCCAAGCUUGGCGCCGUCUGUGGCCGCCCCUAACCGGAAUGAAUGCUCCCUGAACUCCCCACCAUCCUCACCCGGGAAGUUGGAAGGAAUCGGCCAACCGCAACCGACCGUUAAAUCAAACGACCACAUCUCCACUGCCCUAUAAUUUGGCCCCUUGGAGCCUCCGCCCGAAGUACGUCCCAUAGUGAACAAGAUAUAGCAUUGGCCAUAACAAUGUGAAUACCCAGGCAAACCCCACCUGAUCAGACACCUCCAGACUCAAACAGCGCCGAGCUAGGCGCUGCAACCAGAGUCCCACCGGUGUAGAGGGUACUGUCACAUGACAAAGACAGCCCGCACCACCCCACGAUUGUCCCAAAGUAAGAACUACCCAUCUUUUAGCGAGUUGGGUACCCCACACCUAACCUGCCACCAGAAUGGGGAAGCUCCAACACAGCCAGAGUCUGCCAGAGCCCCGAUGCUUGCCAGCUUAAUGGGCAAAAGUCAGCACCAUUGAGAGCCCAAAACGGCCCCAAAGCUCCAACCCUGCUGCAGCGGCAAACAGGUGGAAGUCAAUGAAAGGGACUUAGGGGGCCUGAUUGCACAAGCAACCACCCAUGGAGGCCCAGAAGGAACCCCAGACAGCCCCAAGAGCAACACCAACAGGCAAAGCCCAGCUAACCCAGGAGAGCCCACGAGUAGUGCAGCGGGUGUGACAGAUCCAUCUGUAUAGACUGGGAUUGCUGGUUCAUCUGUUUUGCCCUUUCGUGGAAUUACCCGUUCGUAUGCCCCUGUUCAGUGAAUUGACUUUUCCGCCGAACAAAACUACCAAACAGACGGCCACCCAGAAGAGAAGUGUGCUCUUGAUCCCAAUUAGAACGUUGUGGUUAACCGCAGACACUUCUCAAUUCAAACCGAAUACAGGGUGGUCGUCGUUCGUAUGUCGACCACGAGGCGGCGGCGAUUUUAAACCAUGCGAAAGACCAGCGGUGUUUGGCAUGGAUUUCAUGGAACUAAAAAACGGACACCUUUUCUGCCGAACACCGCUGAAGCCGAAGACCUCCCUUCUCAAGACAGAAGUAUGCGAACACCGGCCAUUCGCGAGGUUUAAACACACGAAUGGACUUACCCCAGAUAGCCUUCCCAUGGAGUCAAUCGCAUACCGAAAGACUGUAAUAGACUUUGACUCCAUGGCGAUUGAACAAUGCGUAUGGGAUCUGAGCGCUAUUCGCCAAUAAUAUACACUCAGAUCCAGGCUAUCUGGGGAUACGUGAUACGAAUGGGUAACAUUUGACAAAUGUAAAGUUAUAUAUUUUUAUAUGUUUUUCUGUGUUGAAUUUAAAAUGGCGAUUUGCCUCUGCCCUGGAGAUAAUUGAAUUACUUCUCAAUUAUCUCCAGGGCAGAGGGGAGGAAAUACUAAUGUAUGCUGGGAAUAUUCUGUGUCUGUGGGUCCUAACCUGCCAUAUGUCUGUCUGUUGUUACAGUCUCCCAUUUGGUCCCCUAGGGGAGUGUCCACCAAGUGGGAGACCUGCAUAAAUACGGGCAGGUAGCCCACAGUAAAGCCAGUUCAUCUUUAUCCUCAAUGCGGAGCAUGGUCUCAUUAUUGGGGGGAUUUAUUACAGACGACUAGAGACUGCCGGAUGGGAUUAUUAGCCACUUGGGAGGUAUAUGCGUUCGGCUAUUAUUGGCGAUUCGUGAGUUUGGAGCUCUUGAAGUGAAGUGCCUGUACGGAUCCCGUUCGUGAGUUUACAGCGUUCCCCUGCUUGCGGUUUGUAUGCUUGUACUUGAUACGCAUGCAGCCUUGUUAUUGCCGGAGGGGAGGAUUCACUAAACGGCGGUUUGUGCAUCUGAUGCUGAGGGUACCGUAACAGCGGGAAACCCCAAAACCACCGACACCUCCUGCCUGAUGUCUUAAACCGCAGCCAGGGGCAACCGACCUUCCCCCAGCCGGAAUCGAUCCCACUACCCAGGAGACUACAGCAUACUAUCCAGGAGACUACAUGAGACUACGGAUAUGUCCUGGGCCACGGAACUCCGAAAUGCUGAAACACUACCCCAAGAAAAACACCACAGCAGCAGAGUGCGGACGUGCGACACUGACGGCCCCACACAUAAGCGACAUUGGGAGCCACUCUUGUGGAGGCACAAAGCCACCUAAUCCUGACCGUCAGAAACAUAACCCAGAAACAAUAACCCGCCGGGCGCACCAGCAGCAGCCGGAUAACUGGUUCCACAGCUGCCUUCAUCAGCGAGGCCUCAGCCCCACAAUCCCACCCACGCAGAUGGCUGCGUCAUGCCACCAUCGCAAACCCAGCCCCUGGCAGGGAACGACAACUGAGUAAAUAUGGAAACCGCGAUAUCGACCCCGCUCCUCCAUGGGCACCACAUCCCAAAGGGGGGGACCCGCGGAGCGGACUUCAGGGGCACAAUAAAAAGAUCGGGAGGUAAGCUUAUCAAGCUUCUUGUUAAACUGGUCCUGCACCACCCGAUGGAGCGCACCCAUGUCCCCUAUCCCGACAGAUUGCCCGCAUGAUCCGCGGAAGAUGGGAUGGGCCCCCACCAAAGGAGCCCUCCCGCUGGAACGGCACGAGGACCCACUUACCAUAACCAUCAGUGAAUGUCCAACCACCGCCUAGCAUCCGGCUGGGGGCAAGUGAGGAGCUGGGUGUCCCCCCCACCUACUCCCCCAGAAAGGACGAAAACGCACCGUGCUAAGGCGCCGGGCGAGCCAUAAGUAAAACCAGAGGCCUAAGUCCAUCUGGUCCCAGGCCAAGAAGGGUCGCACCGCCAACCGUUGACGAAAGCGCAAGACGUACCACCCCCAACCCAGCUCAUCCUAGGGACGACACGCAUCCCAGAGAGUGUCCUAACAGCAAAACCACGUAGACCAUUCUUGGGGAGCUGUAUCCGAAUACGCGUCAUGGGGUGUAUCCGAUUACGGUAUGUACCCUCCUGGAGUCCUUAAAGUCCCGCUUAGUCAAGGGACCCCCAGUGGCAGGAGGAAACAUACCUCCAAUAAAACCCCUUCCCCAAUCUGCUCCCCAGUAUGUCGCGCAAGCGCAAUCCAAGCGGGCUAUACUAGCUCAGCAGCACCCAGAAUCACAUGAAACGCCCGCUUCCUGGGAGGCAUCGCCAGCGCUAUUAGCCGCGCCGGACGCUGCAGAAAAGUGUAAAACAUAUAAAAGUAAAAAGUCUAUAACAGAUGAUACAUCCAUACUGAAAAUGAAGGGGGAAGACUAUGUACCCUUUUUUUUUUUUGUAUUUCCUUUCGUAUUUUCCACUUUACUUAUUUCUUUCUUUAUUUAUUUAUAUAAAAAAAUUAUUUUUUUUGUAAUUAUUUACUUAUAUAUUUGUUAAAAUUCAUUUAAUUUGGUAAUUUCCAUUUUAGUUCCUUUUUUUGCUUGUUUGUUUAAGAGGACCCGACAGAAUAAAAGAAGGAACAACGUACUUACCAGCCAAAGCCCGGCGUACCGUAAUCAGCAUAAAGGUCAAGGCAGAAGACAUGUAAUUCAGCUACCAGUGUGUUUCCAAGGUGGUCCAGGCACCACCUGCUGGGCAUAGCAGUGAACCACAGCCAGGACCUGUGAGAAGGGCACGGAGAGGAUGUGAGCCCACGCUCCACCAGGAGGCAGCCGAGGUAAGUAACCAGCAGAGAGAAGAACAGAAGGCAGAGAGAAGAACAGAAGGGACAGGAACAGGUAAGAGCUGGGGAAUGACAGGGGAGGAGGGAGGACACAGAGAAGAGGAACAGAGAGAGGGGGAAAGAACUGAGAGAGGGGGAGAGACCAGGGGGAAACAGAAAGAGGAAACCGCAGGGGGGGGGCAAAAGGAGGGUUCCUCCGACCAGGGAAAGGAGAGGGGAGAAAAGUAAGGGGGAGGGGAGGGAAGAAACAGAAAAAAGGGGGGAUUGAAGAGACCGAAAAAAGGGGGGGUUGUGAGGGAGAGAGACCCCCCCCGGAAGCCAUCCUCACCGGCAAAGGAGGCCCCCAGCCCAGGAGAGGCCCCCCUCUCCCCCCGGCAGUACCUUAGAGCUCCGUGCGGCCCCACUCACCGCCGGGGUCCUAUUCACGGCCCAGGCGUCGUGCCAGCCAUGCGGUGGUCGGGAAGACUUCUGACCGGCCACCUACUUCAUGGGAUGCGCCGCCUGCCUCCUACAACCUCCGGCACGAUCCCCAAUGCCGGAGGCGCAGCCUGUGAUCCGGCUGCAGGAGGGAGAGGCUGCAAGUCACGUGUGGAGCCUCAGACAUGCGGCCCAGGUGAUGCCUCGGGCGGGAACGCUGGCUGGCAUCAUCGCGGCCCCCAGGAGCAGGGGCCACAGGGAAGGCCCCAUAAAGAGACAGGCCGCGGGGGGGAGUACCCACACCGGGGGUGCAGGGGCCACAGGGAAGGCCCCAGAGGGACCCAGGCCGCAGGGGGAGCACCCACACCGGCAGCCACCAUGGGAGAGGGGGGCAGGGGCCACAGGGAAGGCCCCAGAGGGACCCAGGCUGUGGGGGGGGGGGAGCACCCACACCGGCAGCCACCAUGGGAGAGGAGAGCACCUGAAUCAGGAGUCGCUGGCCACGAUCCACGCUGCAGCAGCUCUGAGGGAAGCCAGAAAGCCUCAACCUCCAUCCCUCAAGCUGUGUAAAUCUGCAGGCCCAGGUAAACAGGAGCAGCAGGACAGGAAGCUGUUUGCUGGCCCGAAUCCCAAGUGGCACUGAGGUAAGACCUCCCCACACUAACUUACACAGAACAUAAUCCCACCCACACAUACUUUCCCAACCACUCCCCUGCAUCUAUCCCCACACUCCUACAUGUGCCCUUGUCUGCUUAGCUGCGCUAUCUCCCAGGGCCUGAACCUUCAGCGUUAUUUGGUAGGCCCGAAUACCGCUCUACGAAUGGUGAGGCCAGAACAAGUACAGGCGACAGUGGCGCCGCUGGGCAGAGGGGGCCAUGGCCCCCCCUACAUCAUGCUGGGCCCCCCCAAAUGCCAGAAUAUUAUAUUCCCUCGAGCUGUAACAGUCUGUGACAGCCUGAGGGAAUGGAGGAGAGAGGGGCUGGAGAGAUGCUGGGGCCAGAGGGAGCACUGACAGGCUCCUCGGCACAGGCCCCACCCCCAAACCAAGCCCCACCUCCAAGACCAUGGUGCUGCAGAAAAUGGCUGUCUGACCUCCAGUGACAGGUAGGUUUGGUGUGUGUGUGAACAUAGCAGUCUGUGUAUAUAUGGACUCAGCAGAGUCUGUGUGUGUGUGUGUGUGUGUGUGUAUGUAUGGACUCAGCAGAGUCUGUGUGUGUAUGUAUGGACUCAGCAGAGUCUGUGUGUGUGCAUGGACUCAGAAGAGUCUGUGUGUGUGUGUGUAUGGACUCAGCAGAGUCUGUGUGUGUGUGUGUGUGUAUGGACUCAGCGUGUGUGUGUGGGGGGGGACUCAGCGGUCUGUGUAUGUGGACUCAGCCGUCUCUGUGUGUGCAUGGACUCAGCAGUCUGUGUGUGUGGGGGGGAUUCAGCAGUCUGUGUGUGUGUGUGUGUGUGUGUGUAUGGACUCAGCAGUCUGUGUGUGUGUGUAUGGACUCAGCAGUCUGUGUGUGUGUAUGGACUCCGCAUUCUGUGUGUGUAUGGACUCCGCAGUCUGUGUGUGUAUGGACUCCGCAGUCUGUGUGUGUAUGGACUCCGCAGUCUGUGUGUGUAUGGACUCAGCAGAGUCUGUGUGUGUAAGGACUCAGCAGAGUCUGUGUGUGUGUGUGUAUGUAUGGACUCAGCAGAGUCUGUGUGUGUGUGUGUGUGUAUGCUGACUACAGAGUUCUGUGUGUGUGUGUGUGUGUGUGUGUGUGUGUGUGCGGACUCAGUGCAGAGUCUGUGUGUGUGUAUGGACUCAGCAGAGUCUGUGUGUGUGUGUGUGUGUGGACUGUGCAGUAUGUGUGUGUGCGGGCGACUCAGCAGUGUGUAUGUGUGGGGGGGGGACUCAGCAGUCUGUGUAUGUGGACUCAGCCGUCUCUGUGUGUGCAUGGACUCGGCAGUCUGUGUGUGUGUGGGGGGGGACUCAGCAGUCUGUGUGUGUGUUUGUGUGUGUGUGGACUCGGCAGUCUCUGUGUGUGUGUGUGUGGACUGGUGUGUAUGGACUCAGCAGUCUGUGCGUGUGUGUAUGGACUCAGUAGUCUGUGUGUGUAUGGACUCAGCAGUCUGUGUGUGUGUGUAUGGACUCAGCAGUCUGUGUGUGUGUGUAUGGACUCAGCAGUCUGUGUGUGUGUGUAUGGACUCAGCAGUCUGUGAGUGUGUGUGUGUGUGUGUGUGUGUAUUUACUCAACAGUCUGUGAGUGUGUAUGGACUCAACUGAUCUGUGUGUGUGUGUGUGUGCAUGGACCCGGCAGUCUGUGUGUCUGUGUGUGUGUGUGUGUGUGCAUGGACUCGGCAGUCUGUGUGUAUAUGUAUGUGUGUGUGUAUGGACAUAGCAGUCUGUGUUUGUGCAUGGACUCAGCAGUCUGUGUGUGUGUGUGUGUGUCCAUGGAAUCAGCAGUCUGUGUGUGUGUGUGUGUGUGUGUGGACAUAGCAGUCUGUGUGUGUACAUACUCAGCAGAGUCUGUGUGUGUGUGUGUGUGUAUGGACUCAGCAGUCUGUGUGUGUGUAUUUACUCAGCAGUCUGUGAGUGUGUAUGGACUCAGCAGUCUGUGUGUAUGUGUGUGUGUGUAUGGACUCAGCAGUGUGCCUGUGUACGGACUCAGCAGUCUGUGAGUGUGUGUAUGGACUCAGCAGUGUGUCUGUGAGUGUGUGUAUGGACUCAGCACUGUGUCUGUGUAUGGACUCAGCAGUCUGUGUCUGUGUGUGUGUAUGGACUUAGCAGUCUGUGUGUGUGUGUGUGUGUAUGGACUCAGCAGUCUGUGAGUGUGUAUGGACUCAGCAGUCUGUGUGUGUGUAUGGACUCAGCAGUCUCUGUGUGUAUGGACUCAGCAGUGUGUGUGUGUUUGUGUGUGCAUGGACCCAGCAGUCUGUGUGUAUGUGUGUGUGUGUGUAUGGACAUAGCACUCUGUGUUUGUGUGUGUGUGUGGACUCAGCAGUCUGUGUGUGUGUGUGUGUGUGUGUGUAUGCAUGGACUCAGCAGUCUGUGUGUGAGUGUGUAUUUACUCAGCAGUCUGUGUGUGUUUGAGUGUGUAUUUACUCAGCAGUCUGUGAGUGUGUAUGGACCCAGCAAUCGGUGAGUGUGUAUGGACUCAGCAGUCUGUGUGUGUAUGGACUCAGCAGUCUGUAUGUGUGUGUGUGUGUGUGUGUGGACAUAGCAGUCUGUGUGUGUACGUACUCAGCAGAGUCUGUGUGUGUGUUUGGACUCAGCAGUGUGUCUGUGUAUGGACUCAGCAGUCUGUGUCUGUGUGUGUGUAUGGACUUAGCAGUCUGUGUGUGUGUGUGUGUGUGUGUGUGUGUGUGUGUGUAUGGACUCAGCAGUCUGUGAGUGUGUAUGGACUCAGCAUAACUUCGGCCUUCCCGCUCACCGCCUCAAAUGCGACGUGCCCACAAGGUGGAACUCCACCUCGCACAUGCUGGAGAGACUGUGCGAGCAGCAGCAGGCGAUAGUGGAGUUUCCGAUGCAGCACGCACAGUGGAGUUUCAGAUGCAGCACCAUUUCACCACCAAUGAGUGGGCCUCCAUGCGAGACCUGUGUGCCAUUUUGCACUGUUUCAAGUACUCCACCAACAUGGCCAGUGCCGAUGACGCCGUUCUCAGCCUUACUAUCCCGCUUCUAUGUCUCCUUGAAAAAACGCUGCGGGAUGAGGAUGUGGCACAGGAGGAAGAGGAGGAGGAGGAGGAAGAGGGGUCAUUUCCACAGUUAUCAGGCCAAUCAUUCACAAGUGGCUUGGAGGGUGGGUUCCUGCACCAACAUAGGCCAGGUACACAAUUGUCCAGCCAGGGCACAGUUCUGGAGGAUGAGGAUGAUGAGGAUGAGGAGGAACCAUGUUCACAGCAGGGUGGCACCCAACGCAGCUUGUGGGCAUUACUGGAGUGUGGCUGGGGGGAUACGGAGGACACAGACAAUAUACCUCCCACAGAAGACAGCUUGUCCUUGCCUCUGGGUAGCCUGGCACACAUGGGCGACUACAUGCUGCAGUGCUUGCGCAACGACUGUCGAGUUGCUCACAUUCUAACUUGGGCUGAUUACUGGGUGGCCACCCUGCUGGAUCCCCGUUACAAGGACAACGUGCCGUCCUUAAUUCCCUUACUAGAGUGUGAUCAGAAGAUGCACGACUAUAAGCACACGCUGGUAGACGCGCUGCUGAGGGCAUUCCCAGGGCCGGCGCGUCCAUAAGGCGGCACAGGCGGCCGCCUUAGGGCGCACGGGCUCUGGGGGCGCAAUAUUUCAGUGACCGGCAGGAGGGAAGCUCUCCCUCCUGCCAGGCCACCAUCUCGACCCCCGGCGCGGCAGUGCUGUGAUCAGGCACGCGAGGGAGCUCUAAUCUCCACCCUCUGCUCCCUCGCGCGCUGUCUGCUGAUGCCGCGGGAGCCGGAAAAUGACGUCAUCAACCCGGCUCCCGCGGCAUCAGUAGGCAGCCCGCAAGGGAGCAGAGGGUGGAGAUUAGAGCUCCCUCGCCGCGCCUGUUCACAGCACUGCCGCACGCCUCCCAGCAGCCCCAGGGACCGAUCCAUAAUCCACACCAGCUCUCCAGGUAGGGAGGCUGGGUGGAAAAUAUGUAGUUAUAAAAAUAAUUAGUGAAUGUAUGUGAUGUGUGUCUGUGAGUGACUGUGUGUGUGUGUCUGUGAGUGACAGUGUGUGUGUGUCUGUGAGUGACAGUGUGUGUGUCUGUGAGUGACAGUGUGUCUGUGAGUGACAGUGUGUGUGUGUCUGUGAGUAACAGAGUGUGUGUGUCUGAGUGACAGUGUGUGUGUCUGUGAGUGACAGUGUGUGUGUGUCUGUGAGUGACAGAGUGUGUGUGUCUGUGAGUGACAGUGUGUGUGUGUCUGUGAGUGACAGUGUGUGUGUCUGUGAGUGACAGAGUGUGUGUGUCUGUGAGCGACAGUGUGUGUGAGUGACAGUGUGUGUGUGUGAGUGACAGUGUGUGUGUGUGUGUGUGUGUGAGUGACAGAGUGUGUGUGUCUGUGAGUGACAGUGUGUGUGUGUCUGUGAGUGACAGUGUGUGUGUGUCUGUGAGUGACAGUGUGUGUGAGUGACAGUGUGUGUGAGUGACAGUGUGUUUGUGUGUGAGUGACAGUGUGUGUGUCUGUGAGUGACAGUGUGUGUGUGUCUGUGAGCGACAGUGUGUGUGUGUCUGUGAGCGACAGUGUGUGUGAGCGACAGUGUGUGUGUGUCUGUGAGUGACAGUGUGUGUGUGUCUGUGAGUGACAGUGUGUGUGUCUGUGAGUGAUUGUAUGAGUGUGUGUGCGAGUGUAUCUGUCUGUCAAAUCAGUGAGAGUAUGUUUGUCAUUGAGUCUGUGUGUGACUAUCAGUGUGUCUGUCAAUGAGUGUCAAUCAGUGUGGGUCUGUCAGUGUCAAUGAAUGAGUGUGUGUCAGAUCAAUGAGUCUGUGUCUGUCAGUGACGUCUGUGUGUUUGUCAUUGAGUGUGUGACUGUCAGUGUGUACAGAGUGUAUCGGAGCAGAGCGCGGUACAGGAACUUCUGUUUCCUGUACCUGGCCAGACUGACAGGAGGUGCUCACAGAGAGAGCACUCCCUGUCAGUCCGGCCGGGUACAGAAAACUGAAGCUCCUUUAGGGGAUCUGCUCCACUCGACAAUACAACAAUAGAGGUAGGAGGCACACCAGGAAGGGGAGUGUGACCACUAAAGGGGUGUGGGGUGCACCAAGGGACAGGGAGGGAAUGGGAGAGAAACACCAAGAGACAGGGAAAAGAGGGGGGAGGGGAGAAGAACACUAAGGGACAGGGAAGGGAAGGGACUACUAAUGGUCAGGGAGGGGAGAGGGGCUGGUUAAGAGGCACAUAGAUGAAGAUGUUUUUUUUCGGGGGGGGGGUGCGGGGGGGCGGAAAAAGGCAUCUUCGCCUAUGUACCUAAAAAUCCAAGCACCGGCCCUGGGCAUUCCCAUCUGACACCAGGGGCUCAGUGGAAGCACAAGGCGAAGGCAGAGGAGGAGGAAGAGGUCGCCAACGCAGCUGGGGCACCACCAGCACCUCAGAAGGCAGGGUUAGCAUGGCCGAAAUGUGGAAAAGCUUUGUCAGCACACCACAACAACCAGCACCACCACCUGAUAUGGAAUGUCUUAGCAGGAGGCAGCAUUUCAGCAACAUGGUGGAACAGUACGUGUGCACAUGCCUACACGUACUGACUGAUGGGUCUGCCCCAUUCAACUUCUGGGUCUACAAAUUGGGCACAUGGCCUGAGCUUGCCCUUUAUGCCUUGGAGGUGCUGGCCUGCCCUGAAGCCAGUGUAUUGUCUGAACGUGUGCUUAGCACGGCAGGGGGUGUUAUCACAGACAAGCGCAGCCGCCUGUCCACAGCCAACGUGGACAACCUCACGUUUAUUAAAAUGAACCAGGCAUGGAUCCCACCAGACUUGUCUGUACCUUGUGCAGAAUAUACAUUUAUACCGGCCUCACCCAGCCAUUGUUAUACUCAAGUGCACUUAUUCUUUGUUUUCUUUUUUUAUAUGUCCCAAUAUUUUGGGGGCUACCCCAAUAAAAAUAAAUAAACAAAAAAACAAAAACAAAACAAACAAAUUAAAAACAGUGUUGGCUACCUCCUUCUCCUCCUCCUCCAUCGCCGCUUCCACCUAAACCGCCACGGUGUAUACCCAGAUAUAUCAGAGCUGCUGCAGAAAGUGCGGCCCGUCUGUGUGCGAUUUCGGCGUUCGCACCUGUAACGGACCGCUUCAGCACACAAGGGGUUAAAACCGUUUAGGCGAUCGUCCCCUUUCAGAGAUGGAGGCGCAGUUACUGUAGAACACCAAACUCAUGAACCGCAUGUAAGGGAAUGCUCUAAACUCCUGAACAGCAUACAAUAUAGCACUCCAAACUCACGAACUGGAACCAUACGAAUCGCUGCUAGCAGACGAAUAGGAAAAGCAUCCAAGCGGCUUACACUCCUAGCAAUCAGUCUCUAUCAGCAUUCAGUAAAUCCCCCCAAAGAUGAGACAAGGCUCCGUGUUGAGGGUCAAGCAGUGGUCUGGUUUAAUGAGGGCUACCUGCCCAGUAUUUAUGCAGGUCUCCCACCUGGUGGACACUCCCCUAGGGGACCAAAUGGGAGACUGUGACAAAAGACAGACAAUCAGCCAAACAGGACACACAGUCACAUUAUAUUCCCACAAUGCAUCCUGGCUUCCUCCCUCUGCCCUGGAGAUAAUUGAGAAGUAAUUCAAUUUUCUCCCAGGACAAAGGCAAAUCUUCAUUAUGCACGUGGGGAUACUAAAACAUGAAUUACUAUUAAAAUACACUAUAUGACACAAGUUACAAUAAAACUAUACAUUUAACAUAUCCCCAGAUAGCUCAGGUCUGAGCGCACAUUAUUAAGCGAAUGGCGCUCAGACCACACGAAUACAGUUUAAUCGCCAUGGAGCCAAAGUCUUCACAAAGUCAGUUCUCAUACGAAUGAGCUCCAAGGGAUUCCUAUCUGUGGUAUAGUGCAGUCAGGUACAACUACCGAAUGCCGGGCCGUUUGUGUACUUCCACCGAACAAGAAGGGAGGUCGGCGGCUUCAGCGGUGUUCGCGCCAAACUGUGUCUGUUUUUAGUUCCAUGAAUUAAGCGUUGAACACCGCUGUGCGUUCGCGUGUUUAAAAUGGCCGCAACCUCGUGUUCGUUAUACGAAUGGCGGCCACCCAGUAUUCGUCAAUUAAGCUGCGGUUAACCGCCGGCACACUCCAGCUCCCAGGUGGUCUAGUCAUUCGUGCGGUUGUUCGGUAGAUUGAAUCUACCGAACACCGGGCAGAAAAGCACGAAUAAGUCUUUUCUGCAGGGGAAACAAAGUCUUUUAACAUGGGGCCAUAAUCCAAAGGUAGCAGGCGUGCAACCAGGCUUAUGCAAUGUGCCGAGAUUGCUCUCGUCACAGCACCCUGCUGCUGCUCGCCUGUCUGCGCUGCAGCGUAACUCCGGCCUUCCCGCUCACCGCUUCAUGAACUCAUGAGAGUUUUCUUUUUUAUAUGUCCCAAUAUUUUGGGGGCUACCCCAAUUUAAAAAAAUAAAAAACAAUGUUGGCUACCUCCUCCUCCUCCACCGCCGCUUCCACCUACACCGCCACGGUCACCGCCUCCUCAACCUAUGAGUCACUUAGUAUAAACUAUGUACACAAUAGCGAAGGCCUUUUCUCCAUGCAUCAUGAGUUGAGCAUUUCUCCAUGCAUCAGCACUGCAAGUUUCAUGGGCAAAUGCAAAUAUUACAAGUUUUAGAAUGAAAUGUUGUAUUUCUUAAACUGUGUACUUUGUCUUUAAGAGAUAUUGCAAAUUGACAAGGUGUUAGAAAUGGAACAUAUUGUUUUUCAUAGAUGUUUCUUUAAGCAAUAACCUCAGUGCAUAAUAUGUUUGCGCCAUUUUGUCCCAGACGAAUUACAAUAACAAUAAUGCAUAAACAAGCUUCAAGGCUAAGCUACGACUCUUUCAGUACACAGGGCCGGCGCGUCCAUAAGGCGGCACAGGCGGGCGCAAGAUUUCAGUGAGCGGCAGGAGGGAAGCUCUCCCUCCUGCCAGGCCACCUUCUGGAUCCGCGGCGUGCGGCAGUGCUGUGAUCAGACGUGGUGAGGGAGCUCUAAUCUCCACGCUCUGCUCCCUUGCGCGCUGUCUGCUGACGUCAUAUACCGGCUCCCUCCCGCGGUAUCAGAAGGCAGCCCGCGAGGGAGCAGAGCGUGGAGAUUAGAGCUCCCUCGCCGCGUCUGAUCACAGCACUGCCGCACUGGACCCCAGGGAAUGAUUCAUCAUCCACACCAGCUCUCCAGGUAGGGAGGCUGGGUUGAAAAUGUUUAUUUAUUAAAAUAAUUAGUGAGUGUGUGUAUGCGUGUCUGUGUGUCUGUGAGUGACUGUCUGUGAUUGAGUGUGUGUGUGUGUGUCUGUCUGUGUUUGUGUGUAUGUGUGUCUGUGAGUGACUGUCUGUGAUUGAGUGUGUGUGUGUCUGUCUGUGUGUGUGUGUAUGUGUCUGUGUGUGAGUGUAUGUGUGCCUGAGUGUCUGUGUGCCUGUGAGUGACUGUCUGUGAUUGAGUGUGUGUGUGUGUCUGUCUGUGUGUGUGUGUAUGUAUGCCUGUGUGUGAGUGUAUGUGUGCCUGAGUGUCUGUGUGCCUGUGAGUGACUGUCUGUGAUUGAGUGUGUGUCUGUCUGUGUGUGUGUCUGUGUGUGAGUGUAUGUGUGCCUGAGUGUCUGUGUGCCUGUGAGUGACUGUCUGUGAUUGAGUGUGUGUGUGUCUGUGUGUCUGUGUGUGAGUGUAUGUGUGCCUGAGUGUCUGUGUGCCUGUGAGUGACUGAGUGUGUGCAUGAGUAUGUGUGUCUGUGAGUGCUUGUAUGAGUACUGCAUGUGAGUGUAUGAGUGUGGCAGUGUAUGUGUGUCUGUCAGUGUGUGUUUGUGAGUGUCUGUCAAAUCAGUGAGAAUAUCUUUGUCAUUGAGUCUGUGUGUGAGUAUCAGUGUGCCUGUCAAUGAAUGAGUGUGUGUCAGAUCAGUGAGUCUGUGUGUUUGUCAUUGAGUGUGUGUGACUGUCAGUGUGUAUACACCACUGAGUGUAGCGUGGUGGAACGCAGUACAGGAGCUUCUGUUUCUUCCUAAACAGAGCUGAAAUUAUACUACCCUCCUAGAAAAAAGGGCAACAGGUGGUUAUACAUCCUUUGCUUCUCUAAAUGCUCUGCAAAAAUAAAUAUUGAGAAAAUGAUUAAAAAUAAUAUAUAUGUAAGAUAAAUACACUGUCUCUAUCUAUCUCCCCUUGGAUCUAUCUAUCUCCCCUUGGAUUUACUUGCUCCUUUAUAGGGUUAGCAUAGAACACCCUUGAAGGUGUUUGUCUCUAAGAAGUUUGCAGGGAAUAUACUCCUUAUUCAUAACCUUCCUUCUCUAUGCUGCUCUGUUUACUAUUGAUUUACUGAGGGUCUCUAUAUAUAGGGAUAGCAUAGAACACCCUCGAAGGUGUUUGUUUCUAGGAGUUUUCAGGGAUUUUAUUCUCCAUCUACAACUCUCCUUUCCUAUGCUGCAUUGUUCAGUAUUUAUCUACUGAGGGUCUCUCAUUAGGGAUAGCAUAGAACACCCUUGAAGGUGUUGAUUCUUAGGAGCCGUCAGGGACUAUCAACUCUCUACUUAUUAUUCUCUUUCAUAUGCUGUUCUGUUCAGUACCCAUUUACUGUGGUUCCUCCCUUUCUUAUUAUAAUAUAGGUUGAGGGACAGCAUAGAAUAUACCUGAAGUAUUAGGGUAAUCAUUACCUUUGCACCUAUUAUUCCCUGUCUACCUAUCUUUUGAUUAACUAUUAUCUUUUCUCCUCUGGGGACUAGUCAUUAUAUCCUUAUUGAAGAAUUUGACUUCUCCCCCUGUAGAUUCAUGUGAUAUAUAGUAUUGCUAAUUUCUUAGGUCGGAUUCGAUUCCAUCUUUUGCCCCUUCUGUUUAUUAUUAGAAUUACAAUAAAGUAGCUUUAAUUGUUUCACUUUUGGGGCAUCUUUGGAAUAUCUAAUUAAUAUACUAUAUAUUUCGGGAUUAUUUCUCUCUUUAAGGACUUCAGUGCUGGUUUUCUAGCCAUUUAAUGUUAUUAGUACUUUCCCUAUAUUAUAUUUAAGAUCAGUCUAGAGUCUCUUCUAUUGAGUCUCUAAUAUACUUUUUUUUCAAUACUUUAUUCUGGGUACAAGCCCUUUUGGUGGAUCUGUAACCACCAGUCUGACCUCUGGGAGUGCCUCACUCUCACUUUUUCUUUGUGAGUUGUGGAUACACCUCCAACAUUUUACUUACCUUAAGAUAUAGAGAGUUCGUGGAAAGUGUUCCCCUGAUUCGGUAGAUUGAAUUUCCCGAACACCGUUCGUGUGAAGUUCGUGGAAAUAAGCCAGGCGGGACCGGGACUCGAGGGCUCGAGGGCUAUGCCGAAAAUAGUUCCAGGAGGUCGAUGCCUAAGUCCCGCUGACUGGCCGUUUGGGAGUUUAAGAUGGAUUUUUAAGGGAUUUGAACGUACAGGAAAUAACGAAUGCACCAGUAAUACAGGUAAUAAAUCCCACGAAUACAACACGAAUACAACAGCAGGGAGGGAAAUAGUCAAAACGAAUUGAGGGUGAUUCUUCACAGAGGACUUCCUCCAAGAACUAUCUCAUAAGGAGAGACACAGCUCACAGUGAAAUGAUUGCCUACACUGGUAUUUCACAAGGAACCUAUUGAAGAUAAUUCCAAAAACUGAUUAUAAGAAAGAUGUGAUUGAACCAUUCCAAAUCCUAAUAAUGGACUCAACGAUGAUGGCAAAGCAUGCUGAAAACAGGAAAAGACGGGACAGAUGCUUGUGAAAAACUUUGGAUGCACCUAUGAAGGUGUGGCGGAACCAACCUCGCAACUAUGCACUGGAGAAGCCUGGUUGCCAGCCUCCUGCCAUGUGACUAUGGCCCCUGGGAUGUAUUGCCCUUUAAAGACAUGAUUUGGGCAUAAUGGAUUUGUGUUGUGCUGCUGCUGGCCCUUUUAAGAACCAUCUGGGGACAUACUGUGGAGUUACUGGGUGGCCACCAUUUCCUGUAUCAGAAGCACAUGGUGAGAACAAUGGAUGGCGGCCAUUUUAACUCACAGACACUGUGUGGACUUUUCAACACGGUGCCAUCUCGCCAGUAUUUGUUGCACAGAGACAUCGUGCGGUGGUUUUGGACUAUACAGCAGGGGACACAUUAUACAGUGAUUGUUUUUUAUUUAGCCUGUAUAUGUUCUGCAGAAUCUGCAUUAAACUGUAUUUUCCAAAGUACUGAACGGAUCUGGGUGAAUUUUGGAUAUGUGGUUCACCCAGAUCCCCCAGUUCCAAGGAUAUACUUUUUAUGGGGUUAUUGCAUGUUUUGGGGUCCCUGUGAUGUGUUUUAUGAAACUGUAUUUCUCUGGCUGUGAUAAUUAGAUUACCCAUUGUGUUCAGUAAUCAUAUCACAGCCAGAGGGGAGGAUUUUGUGUGGGAGUGUCUGGGUGUAUUGUAUGGAUUGAUUGGCUGUUUUGUAACGCCCUGUGGGCUGUACUAUGUUUGUGGAUUGGGAAUAAAAGAGACUGUAUGUGACAGUACAGGGAGUUCCUGUUUUAACCCUCAAAGUGAAGUGUCGUCUCAUUAUUGGGGGAAGGAUUUAUUGUAUGCUGUUCCAGUUUGACUGCUAGGAGAGUAAACCUAUUCGUAUGGUUCCUAUUCAACUGUCUACAGCAUUCAUAUGCUUGAGAGGAUUCAUAUGCUUCUCCGGUUCGGUGGUUGUGGUGUCUGCUGCAGUGCUUGGAGUCCUCAGGAAGCGCUAGGAGCAUCUUUUAACGGAGGUACCCAGUCGGGGUGCCAGGCGAUCCGUUACAGAAGGUGAUUAAGAAAAUACUUUGCCAUAUAGUUUAUCAUUGAAGGACUUUGUGCAAACAGCCUUCUUAUGCUGAAAGGAAGUGCUAUGCUAAUUCUGGACAUUGCUAUUAUGUUUCCAGACAGAAGAUGACCGGAAAAAGAAAUAAAGGCUGAUAACUGUCAAUACCCAACAGCUUCUCAAGAUGGAACAUGGUAAUGACAAAACCAGAUUGACUAUCAAAGCACCUCACAGUACAAGACAGAUUGUUGCCUACAACUCAGAAAAAGUGGUUAAUAGGAAGGAGCAGAAGAAGAGGAAUAUAGAUUUCCUACUGGAGUGAAAAACCAUCCUUGAACAAUAUUCUGUAACAAUGAACUUUGCCAGCAUAUGAAUUCGAAUUCGAAAAAAACACAUUAACGAAAGAAACCUUAAAGCAAUUAAUAAAUAAUAACUAGACCGGCCUACUAAGAGCAGAUGUCCUGCCAAGAGAAUGGAUUAUAAAAGGCCAGCAAAACCUUUCAGAAACAUGACAUCACGGGACACUUGUACUAAAGCACGAUUUGCAGCUUUUCUUAACCCUUAAGACCGGAGGGCGUACUAUUACGCCCUAUUCUAAGCGGCUCUAAACGUCGCCGGGCGUAAUAGUAUGCCCUCCGGUCUUUUCCUACUUAACCGGUCGCCGGCGAUCCCACGCCGGCGAUCGCGGUUGGGGGGACUCCCAGGGAGCCCACAGCAGCACGUCCGACCCCCUGGAAGCCCCCCGGCCAUGUGAGAAGGAGGUCCUUGCGAGGACCCCACAAUCACAUGGCCGGGGGUAGCUGGCUGCAGCAUUGCCAGCAGGGGGACUGCCUGUAAUGACAGGUGGUCCCCCUGCUGGCUGGGAAUAAAAUCAAAUAAAUUAAAAAGUGUAAAAAAAAUAAUAAUAUAUACUUAGAUCAUAUAUAUAUAUAUAUAUAUAUAUAUAUAUAUAUAUAUAUAUACACAUAUACAUACACACACGUACACUGUCUAGGUGUAUUUUACUAUUAAUAUAUAUAUAUAAAUAUAUAUAUAUUAAUAUCAAAUUACACGUAGACUGAUACUGAUUAAAUAUAUAUAUAAUUAUUGUUAUAUAUAUAUAUUUAUAUAUAAUAUAAAAAAAUAUGUAAAUACGUUAAAAAAUAAAAUUACGGGGGCGUGUCCGACUUCUGGCCUGAACGGACGCAUGGAGUAGGAGCUCCUCUCCAGCACGAGCCAUAACGCAUACUAAAUGCACGAUUACAAUCUACAACCAAGUAGCAAUCCAACGGGGAAAGGGACCAUACCACAAAUAUGUCGCCCUCCAAACAAACAAAACUUACGGACCCGUCCAGACAGGCGAAAAAAGAAAGGAACAAAAUGAUCCAAGAUGGCGCCGGUUCGGAAUCCUCUACCCAAACCUCGGAAGGUGCGACGGACUUGGACCAGGUCCAAGAGACGGAAGCAGAAGGGAACAUUUCCAAGGCUUACCUCAAGGCUAUGCUCCAAGAAUUAAGAUCAACAAUCCGCGAAGAUUUCACAACAAUAAUCAAUGGUAUACACCAGGAGAUUGCAGAACUGGGUGACCGCACAGACCAUCUCGAGAGGAAAACAGAGGAGCUAUGCUCAGCUCAUAAUGCAGCGCCCGACAAACUCCAAGCUUUGGAAGCUGACAACACUAAGAUAUGGCAAAAACUGGCGGACAUGGAGGACAGAUCAAGAAGAAAUAAUGUAAGGUUCAGAGGGAUAGCAGAAUCUGUCACACCAGACAAACUUACCGCCUACAUCACCACCAUGUGCGCAACAAUGGCGCCUACCAUAAGCGGCUCAGCAUGGGACCUCGACAGAGUGCACCGGCUUCCUAGGCCACAGCGCCUCUCUGCAGAUACCCCACGCGAUGUCAUAGCACGCUUCCACUACUUCAAGUCUAAAGAUGCCCUCCUCACGGCUGCUAGGGCAUUGCCUACCAUGCCCACACCAUAUGAAGGCAUAGCACUAUAUGCAGACCUGUCGGCCACGACAAUGGCGCGCCGCAGAGACUUUUCCACAAUUACCAAAACGCUGCGGAAUCACAAACUGGCAUACAGAUGGGGCUUCCCCACGAAGGUCCUGAUAUGGCGCAACGGUAAAGUAAACGUGAUAGCAGACCCAGAGACAGGUCUCAACACCCUGAAAGAAUGGGGACUGUGGGACAACCAAGGAUCAGCAAACCCCCCCAGAGGCCUCCCCACAACGGUUCCGGCCGGAAUGGAAGAUGGUGGGCCAACCUCCACGUUAGAGCACCAUAGGGCACCGGUCACCCGCACAACACCAUUAAGGGACCACACCAUCGCAUACUCUAUGUGAAGGAGGACCCGACCAAAUGAACUUUGAAUAACAGAGUCUGGCACUGUGCCAACUCAGGACUUUCAUACACACCUAAGUGCUGCUAACUUCAGGACUGGUAGUAUAUGUGCGAGCGUUCUAAAUUUGUGAGUGUGUGUUGUGCUCCCCCUGCCAUCCCACCUUAUAGUGUCACUUGAAGCCCUGGUUAUCCCACUGGGUACCCCCAGUCAGUGCCAGUCUGAGGGUUGAAUGCCUACCCCCACCGACACUCAGGGGCCCCGCCCGUAAGGGAAGACAUCGCAGCAGGGAGCAGUCCCCCUCUAGUAAGGCCCCCGGGCAUCCAGUCCCGAAACCAACACCCCACGGAGCAUAAAUAACUACCCGCCUCAUGCAGGAACGCUCACAACCCCAAUGGGCACAAGCCCCUUCCGAACAACCGAAGGGUAGCCAAGGUAGCCACCAAUACCAGGCCCACAUUGACCCGUGGGGACGUUCACUGCAAUGGGGUCCUUGCGGUGUAGAGAUAACCCCUUAGAUUCCUGCACCUGGGGGCCGAGACCAGCGCUCAACUGCCAGAAUCGGGAUAACCCCAGGGACCUAAACACCAGACCCUAGGGAUGACAGGGGGACAGGUCAUACCCCAAGUUUGCCAGAUUGCCCCAUAAAAGUUUGCCCACUCAUACGCCGUAUGGCGCCAUAGACGACAAAAACAAAUAAUAAAAAUUUUUUUAAAAAAAAUCAAACCACCCACACAUAUACCGGACUGAAUCGCAUGUAGCUACCUCUACCGUACCAUAAGACACUAAUAUUACCCCCCAUAGGGGACGGGUGCCCUUGCUCUACGGGAAACGGGAGGAUGACCACAAUGGCUCCCCCGCUAUCACAUCACUAUACAUGACUGUGCAAUCUAAUACCUUGAAACGCUACUACGGCUCAGGAGCGGACCUGCUCCACACGACCCCCCAUCUGGGAUGUCUACUGGGGAGACACGUGACAGCUCCCCAGUACACCCAAAGCUGCACUCUCAAUGGAGAGAGUUGUAUAUAUAUUUUGUUUAUGUUAUAUAUGUUUAUGUUGUACUCCCCCUAGUUUUUGCAUGUCUUAUAACUGAGAUACCAUACCAAAGACACGGUCCCCGACUACCAGCCCUUACGCAUACCAUCCAGGACUCAUUCCCUACCGACAUAAGAGAAGGUGUGCAUCAUCGCUCACCCAAGUUCUGGGACAACCCACUCAAUGCAGCAUGCCGUCCUCCUUGCUAGAAUGACACACCAAUUUAAAUGCCUUUCCCUGAAUGUCAAUGGCCUGAACAGCCCGUUUAAAAGACACUCUGCCCUAAGAGAGAUACACACUUCACAAGCAGCAAUAGUAUGCCUGCAAGAAACCCACCUAUGUAUACACAACCCUCCAGCAUUCAAACCGACCUGCUACCCACAAGCAUUCCACGCAUUAGCACCGCACAAGUCCAAAGGGGUCUCUAUACUAUUCCACAAAGACUGGGUCUUUCAGCCCACUAAGAUCCAUCAGGACACAUUAGGCAGAUUGAUAAUCGUGGUAGGCGCUCUCAAUGGCAUCAAUGUCACAGUGGCGUCCCUGUAUGCCCCAAAUGACGCUCAGGCCUCCUUUCUGGGGUCUGCUCUUAAAAAAGUAGCAAACCUUAGACAAGGUCACACUAUCAUAUGCGGGGAUUUUAACUGCACACUGGAUCCCAACCUAGACAUCCAACGAGCCCAAGGGAAAAAGCCCCUACAUCAAGCUGCCUCCCUAAGCCGGAACCUCUCCAUUCUCCUCCACAAACACGACCUAUACGAUACAUAGCGCAACCUUUUCCCGAGCGGGAGAGACUAUACUUAUUUCUCUCCAGUACAUCAUACAUACUCACGCAUAGAUAUGUGCCUAGUGGACAAAAUGUCACUGCAGAAUAUUUCAGACGUUAUGAUAGGGCAGAGGACAUGGUCAGACCAUGCUCCGGUCAUUACCACCUUUAAGACCUUAUACCCUGUGAAAGGUAGAAGCACCUGGAGACUAAACGAAACCCUGAUGAACGAGACAGACCUCAUAACAAAGCUGACCAAUACGAUUCGAUGGUUCUACGAGGACCACGCAAAUGACAAAACUACCAUCCCGACGCAAUGGUUGACUCUUAAAGCAGUAGUUAGAGGCCUCCUUAUACAGGCAGGAGCGACGCGCAAAAAGAAAGGACAAAGGGAGAAAGGGAGCCUACUAGAGGACCUCAAACACUUGGAGGAUAAAAACAAACUCAACCCGUCAAAAAAAAUAACUAAACACAUCAAUAGCAUAAACUCUAGAUUACACGCGCUCUCACUAGCGAAUAUGGAAAGACAAAUGCGCAAGCUUAACCUAACUCAUUAUAUGCAAGGCAACAAAGCCGGCAAGCUACUUGCGCGACGGCUAAAAACACAAUACCUACAGUCUAAAUUACCUUACAUGACAUCAGCCAACAACACGAAACUAUACAACCCCCAAGACAUAGUGGAAGAACUGGCCACCUACUACGAUAAACUCUAUAACUUACACCAGGCCAAUGACACCCACCAACCCUCCCAACACGAAAUCCUUGAUUUCCUGCGGGAGGUAGAUCUGCCCAGACUGACGGAGGAUCAGGGGGAGGCUCUCCUGGCCCCAUUCUCAGAGGAGGAAGUGCAGCGUACCAUAUGCUCUCUUCCAAAACGUAAAGCACCGGGCCCAGAUGGAUUCCCUAAUUCCUUCUACACUACAUUUGUCACACAACUCACACCGCACCUUACCAGAUUAUUCAACCAUAUCAAAACUACAGGACACAUCCCUAAGGAAAUGCUCCUCGCACAUGUAAUAACGCUGCCCAAACCGGGAAAACCCCCAACGGAAUGCGCGAACCUGAGGCCAAUAUCACUGCUGAAUGCAGACACUAAAUUGUAUGCAAAGCUGUUGGCUUCGCGUAUCAAACCACUACUACUAGACAUGGUCUCACCGGAACAAGCAGGAUUUGUCCCACUUAGACAACCAGGCGACAACACUCGCCACUUCCUAAACCUAAUCCAUUGGGCACAAUCGUCCCACCAACAGGGCAUACUACUAGCGUUGGACGCUGAAAAAGCGUUCGACCGCCUCAAUUGGACAUAUAUGCUGGAAGUAUUAGCUAAAAUGGGGUUCCCCCUUCCGUUCCAAAAUAGCAUAAUGGCCCUUUACUCAAGUCCAAUGGCUAAGGUAUAUAACACGGGCUUUCUCUCCAGGCCAUUUACAAUCACGAAGGGGACCAGGCAGGGCUGCCAUCUCUCCCCACUGAUCUUCAUCCUCUGCAUGGAACCGCUGAUUCAGCACAUAAAAACGACAGUUACAAUCAGGGGACUGGCCACUCCGAUAGGAGCCAUGAAAAUUGCACUAUUCGCAGACGACACCCUGCUGUUCAUUACAAAACCGUCCCAAUCUCUGCCCCACUUAAUACAACUACUAGACAGAUACGGCAGAGUGUCCUACUACAAAACAAUGCGAAGAAAUCACAAGCCUUAGCCCUCCGCCUGCCCCAACGCACUUUACAAACCUCAAAGCUAAAUACCCGUUUGAUUGGCGAAAAACGUCACUCUCAUAUCUAGGCAUCCAGCUACCCGCCUCAAUUAAUACAAUACCCCAAGUUAACCACAUUCCACUCUUGCACAAACUAGACUCCCAGCUCAGACAAUGGGAAGAUAAAGGCACAUCAUGGCUGGGUCGUAUCAAUACGGUGAAGAUGAUGAUCUUACCGCACAUCCUAUAUCUCUUUAGAACCCUGCCUAUACAGAUCCCAAACACAUUGCUAAAAAGAUUCCAAUCCACUAUAAAUGCACAUAUAUGGAAUAGGAGGCCCCCCCGCAUCUCCCAAAAUCUUCUCUGGCGACCCUUCUCGAAAGGAGGCCUGAGCAUACCCAACAUACAGCUAUACUACCGAGCUUCAAUAAUGGCACAAGGCAUAACGAUACUAGAACGAAUGACACCUCCCAUAUGGCUAGCGCUGGAAAACGCAAGUCUGACACAGGGAACUAUAGAAGAAGCACUGUGGGCUAGUUACUACCACCGAUCAAUACACCCCACCAUGUUACCUACUACAGAACUAAUGCUUAGUACCUGGUCGAAGGUAACCCAAAAACUAGGAGUAAGCAGAGACCUCUUGUAUGCAGCACCCCUAAGAUCGCUAACACUAUACACGACAGAUAUGUGUCUAGAUGCAUGGACUAGCCACGGCAUCUCCCAUGUAUAUACUCUAUUCGACACCGCGGGCAUGCUACCCUUCCCAAAACUGCAACAGACUUUCACCCUCUCCUCCAGAGAAUUAUUCACAUACCUACGCGUAAAGAAUAUACUUCACGAACAGAAAUUACUCAACGGUAGUACAGUUCCCAAAUCACGAUUUACCCUCAAAUGCCAAGGGAAUCUAAAAAAUACCAAAGCCCUGUCCUUUUGCUACACCUCUCUCAUGCAACUGGGAGACAAGGAACUUCCCCCAAACAUGCGCCUCUGGGAGAAGGACCUGAACAUAAAAAUCCACCCGAAAGCAUGGCAGCUGGCUCUAGAGAGAGUCAAAAAAGCCACACAUAGCUUAGCCCAUAGAGAAGCAUACUGCAAACUAACAAUGAGAUGGUACUUAGUACCCACGCGCCUGGCGCACAUAUUUCAGGGCACAACUCCCCUAUGCUGGAGAUGCCAAGAGCACGAGGGCACGCUGUUCCAUAUAUUCUGGUCCUGUCCACUCAUCACAAAGCUGUGGGAUGAGGUGGAACAGUUUCUCCUAACAAAAGUAAAAAUUAAGGUCCCAAAAACCCCAGCAAGCUACCUUCUACAUUUGUUUCCCCACUCCCCCAGCGACGACGAAAUACAGAUUCUUACCCAUUGCCUUAUAGCAACAAAAAUAACAAUAGCGCAUAGGUGGAAACAAACUCACUGCCCAACCCUAUCAGAAGUCCUGACGAGACUAGACACGACAAGUAAUUAUGAGUUGAUGCGCCGCCGUAUCCGGAAUAAAGAGCAUAAGCACUCCAAAUGCUGGCAGAAAUGGGUUCAGAUAAGGGAUUAAUGUAUGUGAUGGUUAUCUCACAGACUUAGCCAAUAAAAGUCCAGCAAGAAAGACAACACGACAGCCUAAAUUGCUAUCACACUAUGUUCCCCUAACCCCCCACUACACCGAUAACCCCCAGUCCAUGAAGGUCACCAAUGACAAGUGCAGAACAAAAUGGACAGAUUUAUAGAAUACCAGCAAUAGAACAGAAGACCCAACAGACAAAACGGCCACAUCGGGGACCGCAGACCAGUGGUGUAUCCUGGUUUUGUGCUGCCCUAGGCAGGACAAAACUCAGGCACCCCCCCGCGCCACCCCCACCCGCGCAACCGGCACCCAACCUUCCCCCCUGCUCCGCCUUCUAAAUACACACACACACAUUCACUGACAGAUACGCAUUCACUAGCUAACAGAAACACACACUCACUAACAGACACACACACUCACAGGCAAACACACACACACUAACAGGCAAACACACACACAUCCACACUAACACUAACAUACAUACACUAACAUUAACAUACACACUAACACUAACAUACACACACUAACACUAACAUACACACACUAACAUACACACACUAACACUAACAUACACACUAACAGACACACACUAACAGACACACACUAACAAACAGACACACACUAACAGACACACACUAACAUACACACACUAACACUAACAUACACACACUAACAUACACACACUAACACUAACAUAAACACACUAACACUAACAUACACACACUAACACUAACAUACACACUAACAGACACACACUAACAGACACACACUAACAGACACACACUAACAGACACACACUAACAUACACACUAACAGACAUACACACACUCACUAGUGUUUUUAUUUUUAUUUUUUUAUUUAACCCCCCCCAGCCUCCUUACCUUUGGUAAUGCUGGGGGGGGUUCUUCCUCUCCCUGGGGUCCAGUGGCUGCAGCGCUGGGCGGGCGGCCGGCAAGGGAGCUCUUCCCCUGAGCGCUCUGCUCAGCUCCCUCGCGCGCCGCCAGCAGAGUGAGGCUGGGAGCCGGAAUAUGACGUCAUCAACCCGGCUCCCAGCCUCACUCUGCUGGCAGCGCGCGAGGGAGCUGAGCAGAGUGCUCAGGGGAAGAGCUCCCUCGCCGGCCGCCCGCCCGCCUGCCCGCCCAGCGCUGCAGCCACUGCCGCCCAGCGCCCAGAAUGUCUGUUAGCCGCGAGGCUAACAAGACAUUUGCCUUGGGCAUUUGGGGGGCGGUGUUUUGCCGCCCCCUGAAAAAUGCCGCCCAAGGCAAAUGCCUUGUUUGCCUCGCGGCUAAUACGCCCCUGCCGCAGACGCAACAGAGCUAACAUAUAAUAUGCAGAGACCGCACCCCAAGCUGACCACCUAUAGCUUAUAAGGCGACUCCCAGCGACAUAGGCCUUUAGAAGCUACCAUAGGUCUUCACCCUUGACGAUAGCUCACCUCAGCACUUGCUGACCCUUGCUCAAUCAACAACACCCCAAGAUGCGGCCCAACCAAUUAACUAAUUGACCAACCAACUACCUGACUAGUAUACUUAUGAAGGUACUUGAAACGUAAGGGGCAUUCGAAUAGUGAUGUUUCUAUGAUCUGCAUUGUCAAAAAUAUAUGUCGGAAACCUGUUGACUAUGUGUAAUAUGUACAUGCUCUCCCCCCUUCUUUUAUUUCUGUACCCCUCUUAAGUUGAUACGUAAUAUCACACGAAACCAAUAAAAAAUUUAGACAAUGAAAAAAUAAAUAAAUAAAUAAAAUUACAAAAAUAAUUAAAAAUAAAUAAUUAAAAAAUAUAUAGAUGUGUGUUAUUUCGUUCUAAAUGUAUUGUGACAUUAAUAUAUAUAUAUAUAUAUAUAUAUAUAUAUAUAUAUAUAUAUAUUUGUGUUAAGGGCUCAUGAUAGUACAGAAGAUACAAACAUUGAUAAGUAUGGGAUAGUGUGAAAGAGCAAGUCGGUUGUGGUGUGCCGGAACCGACGAUGAGGUAGGCCUGUAAAUAAAGAGGGCCCACCAAUAAGAAAUGUAUGAGAAAAAGGAGUUAAUAAAAGAGGAGUGGGUGGGAGGGUGAUGCAGCGCUGACCUCGAACGGUAUGGAGCCAGGUAAGGGGUGUCCCUUAAGUAGGGAGAAGGUGAGUCAUACGCCCCUCCCACAAUUACAGGCCAAAAGGCCUUAAUACUUGUGUUAAGGGCUCAUGAUAGUACAGAAGAUACAAACAUUGAUAAGUAUGGGAUAGUGUGAAAGAGCAAGUCGGUUGUGGUGUGCCGGAACCGACGAUGAGGUAGGCCUGUAAAUAAAGAGGGCAAAAGUAGAAAAUAUACUUUAUUACGAAACGAGCAGUAUACAUACUUCAACCAGACAUAUCUUGAAAGGCAUUUCUAACUUCUUGUACUGGGUUAGGUAUGUAUCUAGAGUAUGCAGAAGACUUCCAGCGCCCUAGUGAUUUGAUAACAUGUACUGGAAUGUUUGCACUGGACGCUGUGGAGGCCGCCCCUAUGCGGAAGGAGUGGCCCGAAUAGUUAGCUGAUUUUAGGCCUAGUUGUGUAAGUAGGGACCUGACGUGGGUCAUGAAGGUGGUGGUAGUGAGUACCGAACCUUGUAGACAGAAAAGUGGUUGAGAUGGUGAUGCUUUGAAAUGCUGAGUAUAGGUGUCCAGUAAUGUGACGGGGCACCACACGUUGUGGGUAGGAUAGUAUCUAACCUCUACCGGGGGUGCGUGUUGAUUGGUUUUGGAGUGAUGCAGAGCUAAAAUAUAGUAAUCCAUGUGUUUCGUUAAGUGUGAAUGAAGCAGAAUGUGAGUGGACUUGGAUGUGUUGAUGGCGGUAAAUUCUCUUGGUCUCAAGAAACCAUAAAAAGCUACGUAUAUGGCGGUUUUUAUAACAAGGUUUGUGUUGUUCGCAAAGGGUUUUGAAUCUAGUAGGCUGGAUAAAUCCUUGAAGAUAUUGAAGUCUAUAGGUAGCCUUUGCGCGGUACGUGGGGGUUCGGAUCUCUGGAUACCUCUAAGGAUGUUUUUGAUCUGGUAGGAGGACAUGAAACUUGUGUUGUUUGGUUGUAAUGUUAGCAUGUGAUGUUGUAUGCCUGUCAGAUAUAGCUUGAUUGUGUUGUGAGAUAAUUUAAGUUUGAGGUGGCAAAAAGAAGCAAAACCUAACAAAGAUGUCAUGAUGAAAGGUUGUGUGACGUUGUGCAGUGACAGGAAUCUUUUAAAUAGAAGGAAAGCCCUGUCAUAUGUUCUCCGGGUAUUGGUGGACAGUGCUAAUUGUGCCAAUGUCCUGCUAUGUUGCAUAAUAGCUUCUAGUCCAUGACUAGCUGGUGGAAAGGUGGAGUGGUCGUGGCUGUACGUGCGGCUGACGGAAGUAUUUGCCGAAAAGCCUGAAAACUGAAACGAGACAAAUUGUCAGCAGCCGUGUUACAAACACCUGGGACAUGGACACAAAACAAGAAGAAAUUGUGGCAUGCAGCUAGCCAGGUGAGUUUCCUCAAGAACCUCAUAAUGGUCAGUGACUUGGAUCGGCCUUUGUUUAUGAUGUGGCAGGUAGCUUGGUUGUCUGAGUGGCAACGUACUGACGAACCUGCCCAUAGAUGCCCCCAUGUAACGGCAGCUGCUACUAUGGGAUACAUCUCAAAUAGAGCUGAGGUAGUGGAAAACCCUUCCAGGUCCUGUACCUCUGGAGGCCAGCUACCCCAAAGCCAUUCAUUCCCGUAAAUUGCUGCAAAACCUGUGGUAGACGCCGCGUCUGACCAGAUGGUAGGUGAGGAGUCAGACAAUUCAGGGAGAAACAUGCUUUUCCCAUUCCAGGUGGUCAAAAAGUUUCUCCACAUAAGUAGGUCUGCCGUGGCUUGGGUAUCCAGUGGUAACCUGUGUGCAUCAUGUCUAAACAGUGGGAACAUGGUUAGGAGCCGUGAGAUGAAAGCCCGGCCUUGAGGUAUUAUGCGCAUGGCAAAGUUCAGUGACCCAAGUAGAGACUGUAAUUCUUUGCGAUUGCAAGUACCGAGGUGUAUGUAGAGGUUAAUGUUGGUGAGAAUGUUCUCUAUCUUGGUGCGUGGCAGGCUGGCUUGCAUGGUGGCUGAGUCUAGCAUGAUUCCCAGAAAGGUGAUGACUGUAUCUGGUCCUUCAGUUUUGGUGGGGGAGACUGGAACACCCACCUGUUUAAAAAGACUGAUGGUUGCUAUGAGGCUACUGGGAGGGGAAGUGUUCUCUUCGAUCAGUAAGAAAUCAUCCAGGUAGUGUAUAACUGUAGGGCAUCUGGCUACAUUUAAUAAUAACCAGCAUAAUGUUUCGGCGAAUACGUCGAAAAUGGCCGGACUACUUUUUGAACCAAACGUUAGGCGUGAGAAAAAGUAGUAGUGCCCGGCCCACUUAAUGCCAUGCAGGUGCCAUAGUGUAGGGUGGAUAGGCAAUAAUUUGAAGGCAUUUGUAAUGUCAGUCUUGCUGAGCCAUGCUCCGACCCCUGCCUGCAUGAUAGCUGUAAUGGCGUGAUCUAUGGUGGAGUAUUGAAGUGAAAAUUCCUCAGAGGGGAUAAGGGAGUUCAGACUAGGUGAGGCAGAGGUGUGAGGUGCAGACAGAUCGAUGAUAAGUCUUUGUUUGUGGGAAGAUUUCCCUGUGACAAUACCGAUGGGGUUUGUCCGCCAUGUGGAAAAAGGAGGGGACUGAAAGGGUCCCAAUAGGAAGCCCUCUGCCACUUCUUUGGCUAUGAGUGUGCUAACCGCUGUAGGGUUUUGUUGUGCAGAUUGUAAAUUAGGACAUUCAAGGAUUCCUGAAGGCAUGUGUAUGAGACCAGUAUGGAAUCCUUGUGAUAGACCAGUGAUGAUGAAGUCUACCAAAUGUCUGGAUGGAUGUCGUGACAGUAAUGCCGUGAGUACAGAAAUAUUUAUCUCGGUUAAGUAUUGCUUAGGGUACAUUUUAUUUGGACACAUGGUUUUCGCAUGUGCCCUAAAACAUUUUGAACAUAUAUGCAAUAACCGACAACCGCUGUAAUUACAUGCACCGACAUUGAAAUUAUUACAUAUUUGGGACUUCCCCAAAAACUUGAUAGGUCGACCCAGUUUGUCUUUGGGUGUUCUCUCUGCUGACACAGCGGAGCUAGUGCCCUGCGAGGUGGUAGGUUCGUUCGCAGUGGUCGGACAAAAAUUGGCAGUAUGAGCCAUGGAGGAGCAGUGUGCACAGGCCGGUGCUCUUAGACCUGCAAAGUGCCUGCAAAAAUGAUCGUAUCAAUCUUACUCCAGUUGGACCUUGUCCCGUACUGUGAGAAGGCGCCAGACACUUUGGCAGAAAAGGAUCUAUGGUAGUCAUAGAAAGCUGACCCACCAUAUUUGUUGCCCAGAUCAACCAGCCUGUGCAUAUAUAAGUCAAACUCCUCACGUCUGUGGGGAUAUACCGUACAGACCACAUCCCGAUAAAUGCCAAAAGCUAAUACAAAUUCUGGAAUGGUUAGCUUCCUAUUUAAUCGUGCAUCCCUGGAUUUGACCACCACAGAAAUAUCGUCAUAAGCGUAGGUCUUAUGUUCCACUAUAUCCUGGGAGGCAAUUAGUAGUGAGGCCAGAUUGACAUCUUUACCUUCCAGGAUAUCUCUCCUGAGGUGCUCAGGAAUCAUGUGGGCAGGGUAAACUUCUUGGUCAUCCGAGGUGAUAGCUGGAGAAACUGAUUGCAACUCCACCACUGAUGGGGGAAUUGCCGUGGCCGGUCCAGCCAUAGUGAGGGCUGUAGUGACCGAUUCAAGUUUCUCCAGCCUAGAAUUGACCUUGCUCAUGGAUGUCAUGAGGGACGUGAGCAUGUCAUGUAUGUUCCCUGGGUGGGACUGGCUCGACCCUUCCCCAGCGUCCGUGUUAUCGGUUGAGGUGUGUAAUAAUCUGUAAAGUUCCGCUUUCCUUGCUGUUGCUGGAAAAGGGAUUUGUCGUCUCCUGAGUUCGCUAGUGAUACGAGGGAUAGUCCAUUACCUCCGAAACGUUGAGGCGGGGUGUUGGCCUCGCGGACCACUAAACGAUAGGCAGAAUGCCUGGAGGGGGGAUACCUAUUUGGGCCUAUAACCCCUAAAAUUGCCAGUACUCUAUGUCCUAAGUAGAGGAGGAACCAUAUGUGAUGUAUGGCGUGAGCAGGCUUAACGUACCUGGUAGUAUGUAUGCGUUUGAUAAGCGAUAGGUAGAGAAAACUGGAAAAACCUAAAGGGAUAGAAAAACCAAAUAUGAUAGUGUGAGAAUUGGAUCCUAUGAUACCAAUUUAGACUAGUUAGUUGUGGUGAGUUCUAGUAGUACAUAUGGAAGGGAAUAUAUGAAUGAUAUUGGCCCGACUGGCCCUGUCUGUGGUAUGGUAAUCAUGCUUGGGGGUGUGUAUGAUAUGUCUCUAUGGUGACCAGAUUUAAUAGUAAUGCUAGUGUUUGUAGUAUAAUAAGGUGCAGGAUUUAAAACAAUACCGUAUAUGUUAGGCCGUAAACGUAAGCCAUGAAAAGAGGUAAGUACGAGGUACAGAAAUAUUUGAGAAGUUAUCCCAAUUAGGAAACAACGUGAUGUAUGAGUGGUUGAAUCAAGACGUGUGAUUCAACCCGAAAGUUUGUGAGAUUUAUGAGACCGUGUUCUUGUGUACUUGGUAUGUCGUUUGAGUACACAAAGAAAAAGUCAGAAUAUAUAAGUGCCAUGUAAGAAACGUGAGUACAUGGUAUGAUAGAAACGUAAUUUCUAAACAUAAUUUAUAACGUAAAUCCUACAAAAGAUAUCUGUAAAAUGUAAAAGCUUGUCUAAGCUUAACUCCAUAAAUAAAUGUAUAUAACAUGAAGAAUUUCAAUAAAACUUUAAUGAUACCAUAUCUGCUAAAAGAUUAAACCAUAACCUAAAUAAACACUUAUUCAUAAGUAGUUAACAGGGGUAUUGCCCCAGUCAUGCAAGGAUUUUGUAAUUUGCAUAAAAUAAUUAACAGUAAUAACAUGAAACCAAUUAUAGCUGAUGAUAUGCAUAACAAGUUUGCUUAAUACAAGAAAAACCGAACCGAUAUGCCUGCCGGCAGCAAAGGGGUUAAUAUGCCUGUGACUUGGCCGUAAAGCGUGUGGCCGUAAAGUAAGGCCGUUUAAAAUCGCGACGCCGUGGGAAAUGAUCCGGGCGACGGACUUACGAUUUUGAAGUCCUGUGGACUUAAUCUGCGACGAAAACACCGGGUAUGUGCGUGGCUGAACGGGCGGAAAACCUGUAAGGAUUCCUGGACACAGCUACACCAAAACGAAAACCGCGGGUUUUGAAAAGCAAGAUGGCGCCGUACGUGAACCGGAAGUGGAUUCUCGAUGCAGCGCUGACCUCGAACGGUAUGGAGCCAGGUAAGGGGUGUCCCUUAAGUAGGGAGAAGGUGAGUCAUACGCCCCUCCCACAAUUACAGGCCAAAAGGCCUUAAUACAUAUCAAAAUACACGUAGAACGAAAUAAUAUAUAUAUCUAUAUACAUAAAUAUAUACGUAUAUAUACCUAUAUAUAAAUAAAAAUAUUUUUUAAAAAUUAUAGAUAUAUACAUAUAUAAACAUAUACAUAUAUAUAUACACAUAUAUUAAUUCUACAUAUAUAUUUAUGUAAUAUUUUUACAUUAUUAGGUAUCUUAAUUAAUUACAAUUAGCAGGACCUCCCAUGCCAAAAGUAAAGGGAAUUUAAUUUGCUAGCACUAUAUUUAACCCUAUAACUUUCCAAGACACCAUAAAACCUGUACAUGGGGGGUACUGUUCUACUCGGGAGACUUCGCUGAACACAAAUAUUAGUGUUUUAAAACAGUAAAAUGUAUUACAACGAUGAUAUCGCCAGUAAAAGUGAAGUUUUUUGCAUUUUUCACUCACAAACAGCACUUACACGGACGAUAUUAUUGCUGCGAUACUUUUUACUGUUUUGAAACACAAAUAUUUGUGUUCAGCGAAGUCUCCCGAGUACAACAGUACCCCUCAUGUACAGGUUUUAUGGUGUUUUCAAAAGUUACAGCGUCAAAUAUAAGGCUUGCGUUUCAUUUUUUUCACAUUAAAAUUCGCCAGAUUGGUUAGGUUGCCUUUGAGACCCUAUGGUAGCCCAAGAUUGAAAAUUACCCCUAUGAUGGCAUACCAUUUGCAAUAGUAGACAACCCAAGGUAUUGCAAACGGGGUAUGUCCAGUCUUUUUUAGUAGCCACUUAGUCACAAACACUGGCCAAAAUUGGCGUUUUUUGCAUUUUUCACACAAACAAAUACUAACGCUAACUUUGGCCAGUGUUUGUGACCAAAUGGCUACUAAAAAAGACUGGACAUACCCCAUUUGCAAUACCUUGGGUUGUCUACUAUUGCAAAUGGUAUGCCAUUAUGGGUGUAAAUUUCAUUCCUGGGCUACUAUACAGUCUCAAAGGCAACAUAACCAAUCUGGCGAAUUUCAAUUUCAAAUGUGAUGUACUAUAUUUGACCCUGUAACUUCCCAAAACGCCAUAAAACCUGUACACAGGGGGUACUGUCUUACACGUGAGACUUUGCUGAAUACAAUGUCAGUGACAAUGUAUAAUAUAAUACAGAUACUAUAAUUAAUGGUAUAAAAUAAACACAUAAUGUGUUAAUUACAAAGGUGGAUAGACUUUGUGAAUAUCUGAAACACAAUUGAAGAUUAUUGCUAAAAUGCCAUAUGCAGCUGCAGUCUGGCCUACAAAUAUAUUAGACAAAGUAUAAGGGCAUAACAGCUAAUUACCCAAAUGAAUAAUGGAAUCAUGAUAAUUAAAGAUCAUAUGAUUAUGAUAACAGCUGCAAUAAUGAAUGUUUUUAACCUCAAAAGAAAAUUUAAAAUGUUUUUAUUAAAUCAGAAACUACUCGAUAUUCGUUUAAGUUUGCAGAGUGGUAUAAUUAAUAUAAUCUAAUUAAUAUAAGUGAAGUACUUCAACAGUUAAGAUUUAACUGAAAGACAAGCAGAAACCUUACUUCACUUAUCACAAACCUAUAUUUACAAUGAUAAACAUAUUCAGUCUGCCAGAGCUAAGGCCAGUCAAUGGAAAGUAAAAGAGUAUUGUGGAUUAACCCGUCCAGGUGAUAUACAUGAUGAUUUUGGAAAUUGAUCAUUUAGGUCACUUAUUGUAAACUAGUGAAAAGAUGUCAAAGAUAUAGAUUCAACAUCCAUACCACUCUCUCUCUAUAUAUAUUAAAAUACACGUAAUCAAAUAUUUUUCAAAUACCAAGAAAAUGUUAUUUGGUUUGUGAUGGUUAAAGGUACAUAUACAUGCAUAUGAUUAUUAAUUCAUAUUCUGAUUGUAACAUACCCCCCCCCCUCCCCUUCAAACAGUUAUAGUUACAACAGAUUCUGAUAUAUAUUGUUAUGAAAGUGUUAAAACCACUUAUACAAAGGUAGAGUUAAAAUAUAAAUACCUUCAAUAUAGUAUCUGAGUGCUUUCUUAACUCACUUUUAGAGAUAAUAAAAAAUUCUAAUCAUCUUAAGCUACACCCAACAGCCACUGAAAAAAUAUACUUAACCCCUUAAGGACACAUGACAUGUGUGACAUUUCAUGAUUCCCUUUUAUUCCAGAAGUUUGGUCCUUAAGGGGUUAAACAAUUAAGAUUCACAGUGUUAAGCAUCCAAUCUCACAAACGGGACUUUCCACAAUGGCUGUCAGAUCUUGGUUAAAAAAAAAAAAAUGUUUUUAAGACAAUUUUUGGGUGUUUCUGGUAUUGUAAGCCACUAAUAACUAGGGAAUAAGUUGUCUUCUCCCUAACAGGUCAAAGAAAGAUAAUUAACGUCAUAUUUCCAAUUAGCAACUAUUCGAAAUAGAUUGAGAGAUUUUGAAUAAAGGAGUAUUUUUAACAUUUAAAGAGAAUGUAAUUUUACAUACCAUUGUGAACAAAGGCGGUAAAUACUUUGCUGCUUCAAAUUAUCCUUUUAUAUCUUCAUAACUUCAAACAUUUAUGUCUUUACACUAUAUUCACAAUCAGUGCAUUGUAGUAAACAUUUUGAAAAGUUUAGAUACUCCUGUUAUUUUACAUCUAGAUCAUUACACUGAUGAGUAUUUACUAAAAGAACACAUUUUGUAAUAUUUAAAUAUUGGUCUUAAAAUUGAUUACAUUUGGUAUUUUUCCAUUUGAUUUGCACAACAUAAAUGCUUUGAAGGUGUAAAAUAUAUUUUAUGGAGGCACAACUUACAAAGUUAAACUUUUUGUUGUAAAUACAGUUGUAUUUUUUGCAGUAGAUCCGUAGACCAGCUCUGCACAUCUCGAUGAGUUAUUGUCCAUUCUUAGCCAGAUUGCUUCAACUUAGUCAACGACCGCUUUUUUUCAGAUUUCCAUUUCAGAACUUUCCAGUUCUUGAGUGCCCUCCAUACCCAGUCACUGGGUUUUAGUGGAGAACCUGCUGUAGGUAGAUGUAAGGCUUACUGUGUCUGCGUCCCAAUAGUAACUAUGUUACUAUUUCAUCUAUCAUUAUUAUACAAAGUAUAACAAAUGUAAAGAUUUUUUUUCAUAGAUGUUUCUUUGAGCAAUAACCUCAGUGCAUAAUAUGUUUGCGCCAUUUUGUCCCAGACGAAUUACAAUAACAAUAAUGCAUAAACAAGCUUCAAGGCUAUGCUAUGACUCUUUCAGUACGUAAUAUACUGUGGUAACCUUAGUAGAUAAGGAUGUUCAGACUUUAAGAUGCCAUCUUGAACUAAGUCAGGAACAUUUCCAUGACGUAUACACCCUUUAGUUAUGGCCUUGUAUGUUUGCCAAAUUAAGGGAGGUCCUAAAAUGAAUAAAGUAAAAUAAGUGUUACUUUUUCAUAUAUGAACUACGGUAACCCUAAAAUGAAGACACCUAAGGUAUAAAUAGGUGUACUUUUAAAUGUUAAGACACAGAGGAGAGACUUGGAGACAGACGCUGCUUCAUCUUAAAAUGACAGAGAGGCUGACAUGAUGACGUUCAGAAGGGUAUGUUAACCUAUUAAUGAUAUUUGCAAGCAUUUAAUUUAAUCUUAGAAACUCUGCUAUAAUGGAUUUUAUAUGUCUAUAUUUAUAUUUUUUUAUAAUAAAUAUCUAAAAGACAAAACUAUUGCUUACACUAACUAUAUAAAAUUAUAGCUAAGAUAUCUGUAUGGUUAGCCCUACUAAGUUCUAUGCUUUAAGACAUUAUAGUGGUAAAUAAGGGAACCACCUGCGGUUACACAAGAAAUGCACCGCAGGCCGCAAAUGGUUUUUUUUGUGUGUCCCAAUAUUUUGGGGGCUUCCCCAAUUAAAAUAAAUAUACAAACCUAGCCACUUGUAACAAUCUGGACUAUGUGUAUAAAAAGGUUGCCUGUAUUAUUCCUGUACUUCUUGUAUUUCCUGGCUGUACCCUGUGUGUUAAUGUGGUGUGGGCCCUUAAAAAGUUACAGCCGUAUCUCUACGGACAUUCUUUUUCCGUGCUCACAGAUCACAACCCGUUGGUGUGGCUAAACCGUGUGGCUGGAGACAAUGCCAGGCUGCUGCGCUGGAGUUUGGCGCUACAGCCUUUUGAAUUCACAAUCCAUUAUCGCCCGGGAAAACAAAACGGUAAUGCCGACGGCUUAUCCAGACAGACUGAACUUGUGAAGUGAUCUGUGACCACUCCUCUGGACAUCCCCAAGCCGAUCCGUUGGGAUCAGACUGUGUAUGCCGGCUUGGUUCUUCGGGAGCAUUGUGGCAAACCUUGCCACUUGUAACAAUCUGGACUAUGUGUAUAAAAAGGCCUGUAUUAUUCCUGUACUUCUUCUAUUUCCUGGCUGUACCCUGUGUGUUAAUGUAUGCUGCAUUGAAUUCGUAUGCUAGCUGCCGAAAGCCGCUAGCAUUCAUGUGUUUCGUUUCACGAACAGCAACAUUGCGGGCUGUUCGUAAACCGAAUGAGCUACCCCUUAAUAGCCCACACAGAGAGGGAUGUGUGGCGCUCGUUAACCGAUUGCAACAAUAUUGCAAUCGGUAAUUAGAGGCUUUCCUAGGUGGCCGUCGUUCGGCUACCGACCACGCGGCGGUCGGCCAUCUUGGAUCCUUUGUCUCCCCAGCGGUGUUUGGUCGUCAAGCGCUUGGAACUGAAAACGGCUACUCGACGGCGCGAACACCGCUGGGCUUCCAGGCCGUUCAGGAGCUCCGGUCUUUCGCUAUUAGGGUUUCCUCAUCGGUGUUCGGUACUUUGGGGCGAACUCAAUGGCAAAGUGUAUUUUGUGCGGCGUUCGGUUGUUUUAGCUGGGAUCUGAGUGGUAUUCUCACGAACUGUGCACUCAGACCCCAGCUAUCUACCGAACGUCCAUUCAUUUAAAUCUGCCAAGUAUUCGAAAAGUUAUAGAUUUUAAUGUAAAUUGUCGGUUCUGCUGCACAGAGGGAUAAUCCACUUAACGGUAUAUUCCAGUGGGAGUAUCCCUCUCGUGCAGCAGUGCCUGAUGGGAGAAAAGGUCUGAAUAUAAAGUCCCCCAUGUAGUCCCCUACUGUAUUACCCCUGCUAUGACAGUAUUGAAACCCCUUACACGGGGACUUGCAUAAAUACUGGAUGCUGUGAAUAAAAAAGUCAGUUGACUCCCAGAACUGUGUUUCGUGCGGUUACUGGGGGAUUUGGGAUAUUGCCUUACUUUUCAGCGCUUGACUGUGGAUUACCUUCUGUACCAGCGGAGUUCGUGGGAUUUAAUAUUGCCGCUCCGCUACAAUUGGUGGCAAGCAACGGGAUCCAACCUUACAGCCGAAAAGCGCCGUUCGGAUAAAGAGAAAUUACCGAACGAGAAAAGGGAAUGUCAAUUCGUAUGCAGCAGACAACCGAAAGAGAAAAGUGAAUGGGGACGGAUUACACUGCAUUGAAAAGGCAGACACUAAAGGAACUGCUGGAAGCCAGGGGAAAGAUAGCCAGCAACAAGCCGAAAGCAGUGCUGAUGGAGGGAGACAGAGCUCACAGCAGUACACCCCCACCAGCCAUGGAGGAAACCCCAUACCAAAGGGAGAUGCGAACCAGGAUGGAGUUUCUGCCGCAGUCAGUACCCCUUGAAAUAUUGACCGUGCUGAUGGCGGAUGUGCAGGAGUAUAUCAUGGCACACCGUCCAGGGCGGAAUCCAUUACUGCCUCCAUCUACGGCCAGGUAAAACCCAAAAUCCCUUACCAGGCUUUCAAAAUGUUUUGUGAGGAGAAGGAUGAGAUUGAUGGAUAUUUACAAGAUGGAACAGGCAGUAUGGGUGCCGUUACUGGCAGGCAAAUUGGCAGGUCGGGCAGCAGAAGCCUAUCGCGCUGUACCCAGAGAGGACAACAAAGACUAUGCAAAGGUAAAAAGAGCAAUGAUGGAAAAAUACGCCAUUACUCCGGAGGCAUAAAGGCGCAAAUUCAGAGAAUUGCGCAAACAGGAGAAAGAUUCUCAUGCUGAAUGGGCGCACAAGCUGGAUCAAGCAUCACAGGGGUGGAUACAGGCAAGUCAAGCCACCACUAUGGAGGAGUUGUGCCAAUUGAUGUUGUUAGAGCAAUUCUUUAAUGGUUUGUCCCCAGAGGCACAAGAAUGGGAGACCGCAAACCUCUCACCCUAACUGAAGCAGCCCGAUUAGCAGGUCAACAUUUCGACGCAAGGAGGCACCAUGGGCCCUUAAAUCGGAAUUACCCUCGAAACACUGUACAGCCCAGUACAGUCACACCUACGACUUCCACCGCAACCCCCUUUAGACCGACCCAGGGGAACCAACCUCCACCCUCACGAUACAAUGGCAGGGCAAACAUCCAAUGCCAUACCUGCAGGCAGUGGGGACAUAUGUCUCGAGAGCACGCAGAACAGGAGCCGACAAGCCUGGAACCAAGUCCGACAGAACUCUGCACCUAGGGCCGCUGCUCAUCACUACCAAGUGGAACCAGACACCCAGGAGAUAUUGAGCGUUCAGGCAGAGGAACCCCUGGGAAUACUGCAUGAGGUGAUGUCAGUACAAGCCACUGACAACCGGCAACAUCAUCGCCAACUAGUGACAGUAGAGGGAAAAGAAGUACAGGGACUCCGGGAUUCAGGAGCCACCUUAACUUUGGUAGCACCCCAUCUGGUUCCAGAUACAGCACACACUGGCAGAUCUGUGGCGGUACGAGUGGCAGGGGGAGCAAUGUACCGACUACCCACUGCCAAAGUACAUUUGAACUGGGGUGCUGGGGAGGGGGUGGUAGAAGUGGCCAUAAUGAAGAAGUUACCUGCAGAUGUGGUGCUAGGAAAUGACUUGGGCCGGAAGACCUCUGCAUUUAUACCGCAAGCCCCACUUCAGGAAGCUCAUCCCGUGACCACCCGGCAGCAAGCUCGCACCACGGUUCCACCAACACACUCUGAGGCUCAGGUAAGAGACAAUGACACCCCUACGACACGUAUGACCUGGGAUACCCCGAAUACAUUUGAGGCAGAGGUUAAGUUAGACCCCACGUUGCAGGUCUACCGAGUCCGGGUGAGCACAGAUCAGGCCGGGUUAGAGGGGGAGCGGUAUACCUGGGAGAAAGGGUUGCUGUAUCGUGUGGCAGAAAGAGUAAUAGGGGGAUCAGUCACGGUAAUGACUAAACAGUUAGUGGUCCCCCAGAAGUAUAGGCAGGAACUGCUUGGAAUUGUGCAUGAUAUUCCUUUGUCUGGGCAUCUGGGAAUGACCUGUACCCGGUACCGGCUGACCCACGCCUUUUUCUGGCCAGGGAUUUCCAAAGAUGUGAGACAUUACUGCAACUCCUGUGACAUUUGCCAGCGAGUGGGGAAGAGGGGUGACCACCACAAAGCAAAAUUAUGCCCCCUACCCAUUAUUGAAGAACCAUUUAGCAGAGUGGCAGUAGACAUAGUGGGACCCUUGCCCAAGCCUAGUCUCUCAGGUAAGAGGUAUAUCCUGACCGUAGUGGACUACGCCACCCGGUACCCCGAGGCUAUCGCCCUGUCUAAUAUCCAUGCAGAAACUGUGGCCGAGGCUUUAAUUAAAAUCUUCUCCAGGGUUGGGUUUCCCCAGGAGAUAAUAUCUGAUAGGGGUACCCUGUUCACCGCCGAGGUCACCCAGCAACUGUGGAGGAUAUGUGGCAUCAAGCCGAUAGUAAACUCAGCAUAUCACCCCCAGUCCAACGGUUUAUGGGAAAAGGUUUAAUGGUACCCUGAAGCAGAUGCUCCGUACGUUUGGAGAGGCCCAUAAGGACUGGGAGCGAUUCCUACCUCAUCUGCUGUUUGCUUAUAGAGAGGUACCACAGGAGUUGACUGGAUUUUCCCCUUUUGAGUUGUUGUUUGGGGGAAGGGUGAGAAGGCCGUUGGACCUAAUUAGAGAGCAUUGGGAGGGAGAGAGUAGCGCUGAUGGGACCCCCAUUGUACCUUACGUGCUGGAGUUCAGGGACCGCCUGGAGAUUGGUGCACACGGCCUGGGUAUGACAGGGGAGCCAGAGACCGCAGCUUUCAAGUGGGACAGAAUUUUUUUUUUAUUUUAAAAUCUGUCCGCACAGACAAGCUGCAGGCCAUCUGGCAAGGCCCAUACCAGGUGGUGGAACAGAGAUGUGACACCACCUUUGUGAUUGGCCCUGCUUAGGGGUAGGGAAGAGACGCAUGUGUGGCAAAACCGACCUCGCCACGUGUCCUUGGAGGGGGCUGCUUGCCCGCCUCUUGCCUUUGGACUAUGACCCUGCAGGUUAAACUGUUUAUUUUCCCUGCAGAAAGGCUUAUUCGUGUGAUCUGAGUGCCAUUCAUCUAAUAAUGUGCAGUCAGAUCCAAGCUAUCUGGGGAUAUGUAGAAAUGUGUGUUUUAUGUACUAAAUGUGUCAGUAUGUAAUUUUAUGUCUUUUACUGUCUUUUGUCUGCCAUGUGGGUAAUGGAGUUUGGCUCUGUCUUUGGAGAUAAUUAGAUUCCUUCUCCAAUUAUCUCCAGGGCAGAAGGGAGGAAGCCAGGAUGCAUUGUGGGGAUGUUUUACUUUUACUGUUUGAGCCAGGGGGAACAAAAGAUACUUUUACUAACUUUUGAACCCCUGGUCUGAUUCAUGCCAUUUUUUAAUAUGUUGUUCCCCUGAAUGGAUUGAUUGUGAAUAUGUAUUUUUAUGCGAAUGUGAUGUAUAUUUUGGGAGUUAUGAAUGUUGUGUAAAAACUGUAUUUUCCCUACCUAUGAUAAUUGUAUUUCCCUGUGUGUACAGAUAAUUAGUUUACAGGUAGAGGGGAGGGCUAUGUGUGGGAUGUAACUAUUGUGUGAUUGGUUAAUGUACGUUACUGUGUGUGUCCCUCCCCUUCAUGGGAGCACCUAAUAAAAAGGGCUGCAAGCUAGCAGCCAGAGAGUUCUAUUUUUACCCUCAACUUGAGUCCUGUCUCUUAUUGGGGGAAUCUGCUACAAGGGAUUGCUAUGCUAGGCAUAUUCCCUUGCUAUAAUCACUGAGCUCUUGUAAGAGCUUGUUCCUGCUUCGUUCUGAAGGGAGAUAGCUGCAGCCUGCGGUGCUUAUGGUGUCUGGUGGAGUGCUUGGAGUCCUCUGGAAGCGCUAGGAGCAUCUUUCAACGGAGGUACCCAGUCGGGGUGCCAGGUGAUCCAUUACAUUGGUGGCAAGCGGCGGGAUGGCAUCCUAGUGCGAGGAGAAGCAGCUCGGAGACACCGGUAACGUGUGGAGUUGUGCAGCGUCCUUAUCUUCAGCAACAUAAUGGAACCAGCAGUGGCUACAGCAAGCAUGGCGUAUAGCUACUCCGUACUAGAGUUUGGCACGAUGGUAGGGUUGCACCUGAAGUUUUACGGACCCAAUCCAGAGGAGAAAUACGUGCGGUUCGUGUGGGACAUGGUGACCCGGAACCUACAACACAGGGCGUUGAGGGAAGGCCAGUGGGCACGUUGGGAGAAACUCCAGCCACAGGUAGAGUGGGACGAGGAAGAAACCGAGGUGGCCGGUGGAGAUGGGACCGAGGUCUCUCUACCGGCCCUACAGGGAUGCUGGGCACCCGGCCCAGAUCCCCAGCGGCAGUAUGUUUUACAGGGAGGGGAGACAGUCGGUCUCACUCCCCAGCGGCAGAAUGUGUUAUUGGAGGAAGAGACAACCGGUCUCCCUCCCCAACAGCAACCAGAGGUACCCGAGGUAGAGGACCUCAUAGACUGGUCCUGGGAGGACCCCCUGCAGGCAGGUGGAGAUGGGACCGAGAUCUCUCCACCGGCCCUACAGGGAUGCUGGGCAACCGGCCCAGAUCCCCAACUAGAGCUGGAGUUACAGAAAGUGGAGAGCAUCGACCUCCCCCCCCAGCAGCAGCCGGAGUACCAGGGGGAGGUAAGUGAUAUUUCUCCUCCCCAGCCAACUCCUUUGUUCCCUGACCCCCCAGCAGAAGAGCUGGCAACUGGGCAGAGCGCCGCUGGCCUCUGUCCUCCCUUGUUUCCUUCCCCUGAGCCUGACUUUCUACAGGCUGCCCCAGCGGAAGGUGCCGUCCUUCCUCCCCAGCCGCAGUGCGUACCCCAGGGAGCUGAUGGUGUCGUCCGUCCUCCCCAGCAGCAGUGUGUAACCCAGGGAGCCGAAGGUGUCGUCCUUCCUCCCCAGCGGCAGUGUGUACCCCAGGGAGCUGAGGGUGCAAUCCUUCCUCUCCAGCGACAGUGUGUACCCCAGGGAGCUGAAGGUGUCGUCCUUCCUCCCCAGCGGAAGUGUGUCCUGCAGGGAGCAGAGACAGUCAGUCUCACACCCCAGCAGCAGGACAAAAUAAUGAAAGGGGAGACAGCUGGUCCGCCUCUCCACCAGCAGAGAGAGUGUCAGGGAGAGGAGCCUGUUAACCCCUCUCCCCAGUGGCAGUUGACAGUCCAGAGAGAGGAGCUUGUUACACCCUCUCUCCAGCGGCAGCCUAACCCACCAAGGGGAGAUGUUGAGCCCCGCAACUGUGCAGAUGGGACCGUAGUCUCUGCGCUUACAGCCCAAGGGGUAGAGACGGUCGGUCCUGUUCCCCAGCCCCAGAGCUGUGUACCCAGAGGGGAGACGGUCGGUCUCCCCCUCCCACAACCAGGCUCCAAUCAGGCUACUUCGGUGGUAGCACUGGCACCAGGGCAGAGUACCGCUGGUCUCUGCCCACUCAGCAACCCACCAAGGCAGUCUACCAGCUCCCCACACAGCCGUGGUGAGGCACCUGGACAUGGACAAGUUGCUACUUUAUCCAGGUGGAGUAAACAUUUAUUGUGGGUGGGCUGUACUGCUGUUUGUGCUUCGUGGGUGGGUUGCUGGACUAACCAGGGCACUGACCGGCAGGAGGUCAGAUACCCUGUUAGUCUGGGGGGCAAAGGGGAGAAGUGUGGCAAAACCGACCUCGCCACGUGUCCUUGGAGGGGGCUGCUUGCCCGCCUCUUGCCUUUGGACUAUGGCCCUGCAGGUUAAACUGUUUAUUUUCCCUGCAGAAAGGCUUAUUCGUGUGAUCUGAGUGCCAUUCAUCUAAUAAUGUGCAGUCAGAUCCAAGCUAUCUGGGGAUAUGUAGAAAUGUGUGUUUUAUGUACUAAAUGUGUCAGUAUGUAAUUUUAUGUCUUUUACUGUCUUUUUGUCUGCCAUGUGGGUAAUGGAGUUUGGCUCUGUCUUUGGAGAUAAUUAGAUUCCUUCUCCAAUUAUCUCCAGGGCAGAAGGGAGGAAGCCAGGAUGCAUUGUGGGGAUGUUUUACUUUUACUGUUUGAGCCAGGGGGAACAAAAGAUACUUUUACUAACUUUUGAACCCCUGGUCUGAUUCAUGCCAUUUUUUAAUAUGUUGUUCCCCUGAAUGGAUUGAUUGUGAAUAUGUAUUUUUAUGCGAAUGUGAUGUAUAUUUUGGGAGUUAUGAAUGUUGUGUAAAAACUGUAUUUUCCCUACCUAUGAUAAUUGUAUUUUCCUGUGUGUACAGAUAAUUAGUUUACAGGUAGAGGGGAGGGCUAUGUGUGGGAUGUAACUAUUGUGUGAUUGGUUAAUGUACGUUACUGUGUGUGUCCCUCCCCUUCAUGGGAGCACCUAAUAAAAAGGGCUGCAAGCUAGCAGCCAGAGAGUUCUAUUUUUACCCUCAACUUGAGUCCUGUCUCUUAUUGGGGGAAUCUGCUACAAGGGAUUGCUAUGCUAGGCAUAUUCCCUUGCUAUAAUCACUGAGCUCUUGUAAGAGCUUGUUCCUGCUUCGUUCUGAAGGGAGAUAGCUGCAGCCUGCGGUGCUUAUGGUGUCUGGUGGAGUGCUUGGAGUCCUCUGGAAGCGCUAGGAGCAUCUUUCAACGGAGGUACCCAGUCGGGGUGCCAGGUGAUCCGUUACAGCAUGCUCCACGUGAACAUGCUCAAACCCUAUCAUGAGAGGAUAGAGGACGUGACAGCCAUUUGAACCCCAGCCUCUGAGGAUCAGGAGAAUCUGCCGCUACCUGACCUAUUAGAACAGGACGACCAGACAGAGCCCUCCAAGAGGGUUCAACUGGGGGAGCGGUUAAGUCCUCAAGAGUGAGCCCAGGUACAAGAAUUGAUUGCGGCUAAAGGAGCCACCUUCUCCAAUUUACCUGGGUACACUCCGCUAGCCACUCACCAAGUCGAGACCCCUGGACAGCUACCGAUGCGGCAGACCCCAUAUCGAAUCCCUGAAGCAGUCAGGGAACAUAUGAGGAAAGAGAUUGAGGAGAUGUUGCAGCUAGGGGUUAUUGAACAUUCCGAUAGCCCCUGGGCAUCGCCGGUAGUGCUGGUACCUAAGAAAGAUGGUACAACACGGUUUUGUGUGGACUACCGGAGGCUAAACGACAAAACGGUGUCUGAUGCCUAUCCGAUGCCACGGAUAGAUGAGCUGCUGGAUAAGGUGGCACGAGGCCAGUAUCUCACUACCAUAGAUCUAUGUAAGGGAUACUGGCAGAUAACACUAGUCGAGGAUGCCAUCCCCAAGUCGGCGUUUGUCACCCCGUUUGGCCUGUACCAGUUUCGGGUCAAGCCCUUCGGGAUGAAAAACACUCCGGCAACCUUUCAGCGGAUGGUAGAUCGGCUACUGGAUGGGUUCCAGGAAUAUGCCUGCGCAUAUCUGGACGAUAUCGCCAUAUAUAGCCAGACCUGGGCAGAACAUCUGCAACACAUAGGGGCUGUGAUUGAUCGUAUUGGAGAGGCAGGAUUGACACUGAAACCUAGCAAGUGUCAUAUAGGGAUGGCAGAAGUACAGUACUUGGGCCACCGGGUGGGAAGCGGGCAACAAAAACCCGAACCAGCUAAAAUUGAAGCCGUUGCUAAGUGGCCCACCCCUAGGACCAAGACCCAAGUACUCGUUUUCCUGGGCACCGCAGGGUACUGCAGAAAAUUCGUGCCCAAUUACAGUACCCUGGCCAAACCCCUGACUGACCUGACCUGCAAGAAUCUGCCCCGACAAGUCGUCUUUUGCUGCUCCUGAUCCAACUAAAUGAUUUCUUGUCCACACAGACGCUUCGAUGUUUGCAUUGGGAGCAGUGCUGAGCCAAGUUGGAGCCGAUGGCGGAGAACACCCUGUAGCAUAUCUAAGCUGGAAAUUGUUACCCCGAGAAGUAAGCUACGCCGCCAUAGAAAAACAAUGCCUGACCGUGGUGUGGGCCCUUAAAAAGUUACAGCCGUAUCUCUAUGGACAACCUUUUUCCCUGCUCACAGAUCACAACUCAUUGGUGUGGCUAAACCGUGUGGCUGGAGACAAUGCCAGUCUGCUGCGCUGGAGUUUGGCGCUGCAGCCUUUUGACUUUACAAUCCAUUAUCGCCCGGGAAAACAAAACGGUAACGCCGACGGGUUAUCCAGACAGACUGAACUUGAGAAGUGAUCUGUGAGCACUCCUCCGGACAUUCCCAAGCCGAUCCGUUGGGAUCAGACUGCGUAUGUUGGCUUGGUUCUGGGGGAGCAUUGUUGCAAACCUAGCCACUUGUAACAAUCUGGACUAUGUGUAUAAAAAGGUUGCCUGUAUUAUUCCUGUACUUCUUCUAUUUCCUGGCUGUACCCUGUGUGUUAAUGUAUGCUGCAUUGAAUUCGUAUGCUAGCUGCCGAAAGCCGCUAGCAUUCAUGUGUUUCGUUUCAUGAACAGCAACAUUGCUACCCCCUAAUAGCCCACACAGAGAGGGAUGCGUGGCGCUCGUUAACCGAUUGCAACAAUGUUGCAAUCGGUAAUUAGAGGCUUUCCUGGGUGUCCGUCGUUCGGCUACCGACCACGCGGCGGUCAGCCAUCUUGGAUCCUUUGUAUCCCCAGCGGUGUUUGGUCGUCGAGCGCGUGGAACUGAAAACGGCUACUCGACAGCGCGAACACCGCUGGGCUUCCAGGCCGUUCAGGAGCUCCGGUCUUUCGCUAUUAGGGUUUCCUCAUCGGUGUUCGGUACUUUGGGGCGAACUCAAUGGCAAAGUGUAUUUCGUGCGGCGUUCGGUUGUUUUAGCUCGGAUCUGAGCGGUAUUCUCACGAACUGUGCAUUCAGACCCCAGCUAUCUACCGAAUGUCCAUUCGUUUAAAUCUGCCAAGUAUUCGAAAAGUUACAGAUUUUAAUGUAAAUUGUCGGUUAUGCUGCACGGAGGGAUAAUCCACUCCAGUGGGAGUAUCCCUCUCGUGCAACAGUGCCUGAUGGGAGAAAAGGUCUGAAUGUUAAGUCCCCCAUGUAGUCCCCUACUGUAUUACCCCUGCUAUGACAGUAUGGAAACCCCUUACAGGGGGGCUUGCAUAAAUACUGGAUGCUGUGAAUAAAAACGUCAGUUGACUCCCAGAACUGUGUUUCGUCCGGUUACUGGGGAAUUUGGGAUAUUGCCUUACUUAUCAGCGCUUGACUGUGGAUUACCUUCUGUAUCAGCGGAGUUCGUGGGAUUUAAUAUUGCUGCUCCGCUACUAUAUAUAUAUAUAUAUAUAUAUAUAUAUAUAUAUAUAUAUAUAAAAAACAGUGUUGGCUACCUCCUCCUCCACCGCUGCUUCCACCUACACCAUCACGGUCACCGCCUCCUCAACCUAUGGGUCACUUAGUAUAAACUAUGUAGCAGAGGCUUGUAAAUGCCUUUUCUCCAUGCAUCAGAAGUUGAGCAUUUCUCCAUGCAUCAGGACUGCAAGAAAUGCACCGCAGGCCGCAAAUGUUUCUUUUUUUAUAUGUCCCAAUAUUUUGGGGGCUCCACAUUUAAACCCCCCCCCAAAAAAAACCCCCCAAAACAAAUAAAAAACAGUAUUGGCUACCUCAUCCUCCUUCUCCACCGCCGCUUCCACCUACACCGCCACGGUCACCGCCUCCUCAACCUAUAGGUCACUUAGUAUAAACUAUGUACACAAUAGUAGAGGCUUGUGAAGGCCUUUUCUCCAUGCAUCGGGAGUUGAGCUCAGUUUGAACAAUGAAAGAGAAUACCCUGCACUCCAACCCUCUCUCAAAUGGAUAAUUCUGGUGAUCCUCCUGACAGCCAUGCUUUAGAUUUUGAUUUAUGUUCUUCCAAAGCUAAAAUCAAAGAUUCCAUCUAGUGCUAUUUUAUUGUUCAGCUGUAUUUUUAAUUUUUAUGUUAUUUUAAGUGAUUUCCCUAUCCACAUUUGUUUGCAGGGCAGGGUCCUACUCUUACCCCCAUUUUACUUCCUUUUGCAGCUCUCUAGCCCUUUCCAGGAGAUUUUUAGAGGCAUUUUUGUGCCCACAAUUUCGGGUCCCCAUUGACUUCAAUGGGGUUCGGGUUCGGGGUCAAGUUCGAGCCUGAACCCUGAUUUUUUUUCAAAGUUCAGCCGAACCCGCCGGACCCGAACAUCCAGGUGUCCGCUCAACUCUACUAUUGAACCAUAAGAUCCUAAUUAGUAAUGCAGAGAGGACAUAAAGGAAAGGAUUGGAAAUAUCUCAGUCUGCAAGAUACCAUUCAAUCCCAUUCGGCAGAGAUCUUUAGAAACGUCCUUAAGGAACCGGCUUUAAAUGCCGGAGGCCGGCAUAGAAUGCCCAAACAGUCCUUUCUACUUACCUGGUUGCCGGCGAUCGCGGUAUGGGGACUCACCUGGGAGCCCAGGGAGUCCCCCUCUGUCCUCUUCGGCCCCCCUGAGCCAUGUGAUCAGUGGCGUACAUACCAGGGUCGCAGGGGUCGCGGCUGCGACCAGGCCCGGCCCACCAGGGGGCCCGGCCGCCCCUGCAACCUGGUAUGUACCCACAGGGCCAGCCUCUUCCCCUGGGGGGUCCAGGAGGCGGCCACCUCAGGGCCCCCCCGAGGCUGGCCCUGCUGUCACCGGUCGGGCAGGCGGGAGGGUGCGCGAGGGAGCACUCAGUGCUUCCUCUUCAGCUCCCUCGCGCACCGCACUGAUGCCGGAGCCGAAAGAUGACGUCAUCUUCCGGCUCCGGCAUCCCUAUGCGGCGCGCGAGGGAGCUGAAGAGGAAGCACUGAGUGCUCCCUCGCGCACCCUCCCGCCUGCCCGACCGGCCACCCGCCCAGGAGCCCAGCAGCACCACUGGACCUCAGGGAAUCCCCCCAGCACUCCAAAAGGUAAGGAGGCUGGGGGGAUUACAUUUUAAACAAAAUGUGUUUGUGUGUGUGUGUUAGUGUGUGUGUGUGUGUGUGUUUGUGUGUUUGUGUUAGUGUGUGUGUCAGUGAGUGUGUCUGUUAUUGGGUGUGUGUCUGCUAGUGAGUGUGUUACUGUGUGUGUCUGUUACUGAGUGUGUUUGAUGUCUGUUAGUGAGUGUGUGUUUGUCAGUGAAAGUGUAUGUUUUGUAAGUGAGUGUGUAUGUAUGUCUGUCGCUGAGUGUGUCUGUGUCAGUAAAUGUGUGUGUCUGUUAGCUAGUGUGUAUGCGUCUGUUCGUGAGAGUGUGUGUGUGUGUCUUCAGCAUUUACCUUUCUCCAACGUCGGACUCCCUUGGCGCUGGGGAUCCCUCCGCCUCUCAGCUCCGAAUGCACACACGCGGCAAGAGGCGCGCGCGCGCGCAUUUAAACCGCCCAUAGGAAAGCAUUACUCAAUGCUUUCCUAUGGACGUUCAGUGUCUUUCCACUGUGAUUUUCACAGUGAGAAUCGCGGAAGCUCCUCUAGCAGCUGUCAAUGAGACAGCCACCAGAGGCUGGAUUAACCCUCAGUGAAACAUAGCCGUUUCUCUGAAACUGCUAUGUUUUCAGCUGCAGGGUUAAAACUAGAGGAACCUGGCACCCAGACCACUUCAUUGAGCUGAUGUGAUCUGGGUGUCUGUAGUGGUCCUUUAAGUGUGUGUGCAUACCGCGGUCGCGGGGUCGCAGCCCUGCAACCCCUGCGACCAGGUGCCCACCGCCAUCUGUUGCGGCCCCAACCCGCGCCGAGUAAGCGCGGGGGCGGGCCCAUGGAUCAAUUUUCGCACCAGGGCCCCAUGGUUCCUUGAGAGGCCCUCAUGAUCACAUGGACAGCAUAGCUGUCCAUUGCAAUGCCAGCAGGAGGAGUGCCUGUGAUGACAGGCACUCCCUCUACUGUCUGCAAAAAAAAUAAUUAAAGUUUAAAACAGUGUAAAAUAACAUAUAUAUUUAGAUCAUAUAUAUGUAUUAUUUAUAUAUAUAAAACAAGAGGGGGUUGGCUGCACUCACCUUAUAUAUAUGAUCUAAGUAUAUAUACAUAUACACACAUACACUGUCUACGUGUAUUUUAAUAUUAAUAUAUAUAUAAUUAUAAAUAUAUAUUAAUAUCAAAAUACACGUACAAUAUUGAUUGAAAAAAUUUAAUUAAAAAAGUAAUAAAACAUACAUAGAAUAUAUAUAUGUAAAUUCGUUCUAACUGUAUUUUAAAAUUAAUAUAUAUAUUGAUAUCAAAAUAUAUGUAGAACAAAAUAAUAUAUAUCUAUAUACAUAAGUAUAUACGUAUAUAUCACUAUAUAUAUAUAUAUAACUAAAAUAAUUUUUAAAAAUUAUAUUCAUAUAUAUAUAUACACACACACAUAUAAAAAUUCUACGUAUAUAUUUAUGUAAUAAUUUUACAUAAUUAGGUAAUUUUAAUAAUUACAAUAAGCAGGACCAGUCUGGCAACGCAAGCCAAAAGUCCAGGGAAUUUAAUUUGCAAGCACUAUAUUUAACCCUGUAACUUUCCAAGACACCAUAAAACCUGUACAUGGGGGGUACUGUUUUACUUGGAAGACUUCGCUGAACACAAAUAUUAGUGUUUCAAAACAGUAACAUGUAUUACAACGACGAUAUUGUCAGUGAAAGUGAAAUUAUUUGCAUUUUUCACACCCAAAGGACAAUGGACAAUAUAAUUGUUGUGAUAUGUUUUAUGGUUUUGAAACACUAAUAUUUGUGUUCAGCGAAGUCUCCCGAAGAUAACAGUACCCCUCAUGUACAGGUUUUAUGGUGUUUUCAAAAGGUAGAGAGUCACAUAUAAGGCUUGCGUUUCAGUUUUUCCACAUUGAUAUUCGCCAGAUUGGUUACGUUGCAUUUGAGACCGUACGGUAGCCCAGGAAUGAGAAAUACCCUCAUAAUGGCACACCAUUUGCAAAAGUAGACAACCCAAGGAAUUGCAAAUGGGGUAUGUCCAGUCUUUUUUAGUAGCCACUUGGUCACAAACACUGGCCAAAAUUGACGUUCAUUAGUUUUUUGCAUUUUCAAAUAUUAACACUAACUUUGGCCAGUGUUUGUGACCAAGUGGCUACUAAAAAAGACUGGGCAUACCCCAUUUGCAAUACCUUGGGUUGUCUACUUUUGCAAAUGGUAUGCCAUCAUGGGGGUAAUUCUUAUUCCUGAGCUACCAUACUGUCUCAAAGGCAACCCCUUAAGGACUGAGCCAAAUGUACACGUUGUGAACAAAACAAAAUGUAAACAAAACCUGGCAUUUGCGCUAUAUGUCUGUCCAACCGUAAUUCACCUCUUUCAUAUUAUUUGCACCCACCCUUAUUAUAUAUAAUUUUAUUCAGGGGAAACAGGGCUUUCAUUUAAUAUCAAAUAUUUAGCUAUGAAACAUAAUGUAAUAUGAAAAAAAUGGGAGAAAAUAAGAUAUUUUUUAGUUCUUCAUUACAUUUUAACUGUCAAUGUCAUAAUACUGUUUCCUUUUACUGCAAUAAAAUACACAUAUUUGUAUUCAGCAAAGUCUCACGUGUAAAACAGUACCCCCUAUGUAUAGGUUUUAUAGUGUUUUGGGAAGUUACAGGGUCAAAUAUAGCACAUUACAUUUGAAAUUGAAAUUCGCCAGAUUGGUUACAUUGCCUUUGAGACUGUAUAGUAGCCCAGGAAUGAAAUUUACACCCAUAAUGGCAUACCAUUUGCAAUAUUAACCCCUUAAGGACCAAACUUCUGGAAUAAAAGGGAAUCAUGACAUGUCACACAUGUCAUGUGUCUUUAAGGGGGUAGACAACCCAAGGUAUUGCAAAAGUGGCUACUAAAAAAGACUGGACAUACCCCAUUUGCAAUACAUUGGGUUGUCUACUAUUGCAAAUGGUAUGCCAUCUUAGGGGUAAUUUUCAUUCUUGGGCUACCAUAGGGUCUCAAAGGCAACGUAACCAAUCUGGCAUAUUUUCAUGUGAAAAAAAUGAAACACAAGCCUUAUAUUUGACGCUGUAACUUUUGAAAACACCAUAAAACCUGUACAUGAGAGGUACUGUUGUACUCGGGAGACUUCGGUGAACACAAAUAUUUGUGUUUCAAAACAGUAAAAAGUAUCACAGCAAUAAUAUCGUCCGUGUAAGUGCUGUUUGGGUCUGAAAAAUGCAAAAAACUUCACUUUUACUGGCGAUAUCAUCGUUGUAAUACAUUUUACUGUUUUGAAACACAAAUAUUUGUGUUCAACGAAGUCUCCCGAGUAAAACAGUAACCUCCAUGUACAGGUUUUAUGGUGUCUUGGAAAGUUAUAGGGUUAAAUAUAGUGCUAGCAAAUUUAAUUCCCUAUACUUUCGGCAUGGGUUGUCAGGCAGGUCCCGCUAAUUGUAAUUAAUUAAGAUACCUAAUUAUGUAAAAAUAUUACAUAAAUAUAUAUGUAGAAUAUUAUAUAUAUAUAUAUAUAUAUAUAUAUAUAUAUAUAUAUAUACACGUAUAUAUGUGUAUAUAUAUAUAUAAUUUAAAAAAAAUAUAUUUGUACAUAGGUAUAUUUAUAGUGAUAUAUAUGUAUAUAUUUAAGUAUAUAGAUAUAUAUAUAUUAUUUCGUUCUACGUGUAUUUUGAUAUAAAUACAGUUGCAAGAAAAAGUAUGUGAACCCUUUGGAAUGAUAUGGAUUUCUGCACAAAUUGGUCAUAAAAUGUGAUCUGAUCAUCAUCUAAGUCACAACAACAGACUGUGAAUGUUUACAUGGUGUGUUCAAGAAAAACAUGGCAACAUUUAAUUCUUUGUGUGUUAUUAGUUUAAAGGACCACUAUAGUGCCAGGAAAACAUACUCGUUUUCCUGGCACUAUAGUGCCAUGAGGGUGCCCCCACCCUCAGGGACCCCCUCCCGCCCGGCUCUGUAAGGGGGAAAGGGGUAAUAACUUACCUUUUUCCAGCGCUGGGCGGAGAGCUCUCCUCCUCCUCUCCGCCUCAGAUCCGACCCGCCAGCUGAAUGCGCACGCGCGGCAAGAGCUGCGCGCGCAUUCAGCCCGUCGCAUAGGAAAGCAUUUACAAUGCUUUCCUAUGGACGCUUGCGUGCUCUCACUGUGAAAAUCACAGUGAGAAGCACGCAAGCGCCUCUAGUGGCUGUCAAUGAGACAGCCACUAGAGGAUUAGGGGGAAGGCUUAACCCAUUCAUAAUUAUAGCAGGUUCUCUGAAACUGCUAUAAUUAUGAAAAAAUGGGUUAACCCUAGAAGGACCUGGCACCCAGACCACUUCAUUAAGCUGAAGUGGUCUGGGUGCCUAGAGUGGUCCUUUAAGCAGACUGUGAUUGUCUAUUGUUGUGACUUAGAUGAUGAUCAGAUCACAUUUUAUGACCAAUUUGUGCAGAAAUCCAUAUCAUUCCAAAGGGUUCACAUACUUUUUCUUGCAACUGUAUAUAUAUAUUAAUAUCACAGUACAGUUAGAACAAAAUAACACACAUCUAUAUAUUUUUUAAUUAUUUUUUUUAAUUAUUUUUUUAAUUUAAUUUUUUAACGUAUUUACAUUUUAAUAUUAUAUAUAAAUAUAUAUAUAUAUAUAUAUAUAUAUAUAUAUAACAAUAAUUAUAUAUAUAUUUAAUCAGUAUCAGUCUACGUGUAAUUAACCUCGCAAGGACCUCACUCUCACAUGGCCGGAGGAGGCAGGAUCUGCCGCGGGGGACUCCCUGGAAUCCCAGGUGAGUCUCCCCAACCGCGUUUAGAGCCGCUUAGAAUAGGGCGUAAUAGUACGCCCUCCGGUUUUAAGGGGUUAACCCCUUCAGGACGGAGUCAAUAGUACAUGUUCUGAUCAAAACAAAAUGUAAACAAAAACUGGUAUUUGCGCUAUAUGUCUAUUCAACUGUAAUUCACCGCUUUCAUAUUAAAGGACCACUAUAGUGCCAGGAAAACAUACUCGUUUUCCUGGCACUAUAGUGCCCUGAGGGUGCCCCCACCCUCAGGGACCCACUUCCACCGGACUCUGGGGAGAGGAAGGGGUUAAACUUACCUCUUUCUCCAGCGCUGGGCGGGGAACUCUCCUGCUCCUCUCCUCCUCUCCAGCUGAAUUCUCAUGCGCGGCAGGAGCCGCGCACGCAUUCAGCCAGUCCAUAGGAAAGCAUUCACAAUGCUUUCCUAUGGACGCUGGCAUCUUCUCACUGUGAUUUUCACAGUGAGAAGCACGCAAGCGCCUCUAGCGGCUGUCAAGAGACAGCCACUGGAGGCUGGAUUAACCCUAUUAUAAACAUAGCAGUUUCUCUGAAACUGCUAUGUUUAUUUAAAAAAGGGUUAACCCUAGCUGGACCUGGCACCCAGACCACUUCAUUAAGCUGAAGUGGUCUGGGUGCCUAGAGUGGUCCUUUAAGUGCACCCACACUUAUUAUAUAUCAUUUUGUUGAGGAGAAACUGUGCUUUAAUUUUUCAUGAACUAUUCAUAUUUUAAACAUAAUUUAUUAUGAAUAAAAUUUAAAAACCUGUGAGAAAUUAAGAUUUUUAAAAAAAAUUGUAGACAUUUUAGCUGUAAAUGUCAUAAUACCGUUAGCUUUAACUGCAAAAAAAACACAUAUUUGGAUUCAGCAAAGUCUCACGAGUACAACAGUACCCCCCAUUAGCAGUUUUUACGGUGUUUUGGAAAGUUAAUUCUACAUCAUUCUAAGUGUUUUAACAUUAAUAUAUGUACUUAUAUUAACAUUAAAAUACAUACGGUAUCACGUUACAUAUAUAUAAGAUGUAUAUAUAUGUUAGAUAUAUAAUAUAUAUAUAUAUUUUAUAUAUAUUUAUAAAUACAUUUCUUUUAUAACAUGUUUAAUGCUUUUUUUUUUUCUACUUUCCCGACAGCAGGGGGACUGUCUGACAUUUCAGACAGUCCCCCUGCUGGCAGAUCAACAGCCAACUAUAGGGGGCCAUGUGAUCGCUCUUUGAGAGCGAUCACAUGGCCCCCCCAGGGGCCUCAUUUGCCGGGGGAGGGCUGCCUGUGCUGUCAGGCAGCCCUCCAGAAGAGGAUUGCGGCAGAGGUAAAUCCACCGGAGCACAUGGGGCUGAAAGCCGUUACGGUGUUCUAUGCCGCCGCAACUACUUUAAAGCCCAUUUAAUGCGGGACUGUAUAGAACGUCGUAACGGCGUUAAGGGGUUAAAACAAGAAUAAUAGAACGGUGGUGAAUAAGGUAUCUUUAUAUAUCUCCCACACCUAUGACCAUUAGCCUAGCCUACUUAAUAUUUAUAGUUGAUUAUGGAUUAUAUUUCCAAUCCGACCUUAUGGUGGGGAACAGUAUAGAGAUACUUACCUUCCGUACAUUAAAGUGACACUAGAGUCACCAGAACAACUACAGCUUUUUGAAUUUGUUCUGGUGAGUAUAAUCAUUCCCUACAGGCUUUUUGCAAUAAACACUGGCAUUUCAGUGAAAGUGCAGUGUAACGGCACCCCGGGCAUAAAAGGGUUAAACCAACGUUUAGAAGAUCUUCCCCUUCCAGAGACACAGGCACAGCUACUGUAGACACCCAUACACCGAACCGGAGAAGCAUAUGAAUUCUCUCAAGCAUAUGAAUGCUGUAAACAGCCGAAUAGGAAAAACCAUCCGAAUAGGUUUACAUUCCUAGCAGUCAAACUGGAACAGCAUACAGUAAAUCCCCCCAAGAACGAGACAAAGCUCCGUGUUGAGGGUCAAACAGUGAACAGACAAAGCUGUGGGUUUAUUGUUCUUAUAUACACAUUAGUACCACCCACAGGGUUUUGGAAAACAACCAAUAAACAAGUACAAUACACUCAGACAUUCCCACACAAAAUCCUCCCCUCUGCCUGUGAUACAAUUACCUUACACAAUGGGUAAUGUAAUUAUAACAGCCAGAGAAAUACAGUUUUUCCACAUUAUUCAUAACUUGAAAAGUAUGCAUCACAUUCACAGAAUCAGCAUACUCCAAAUACAAACAUAUGUCAAAAUCAUCCAAAUGGUUCAAAAGUUAGAUUGUAGUCCUUUGUGACCAAAGGAAGCAUGGCUUUUCUGCCCAAAACCAGUUCCACAGAGUAUUCUAUCCUGGAGAUAAUUGGGAAGUAAUCCAAUUAUCUCCAAGGACAGAGGCAAAACUCCAUUAAGCACAUGGCAGUAAAAAGACAGUAAAAUACAAUAAAACACACAAGGUUACAUUAUUACAUAAAAUACAGACAUGCAACAUAUCCCCAGAUAGCUUAGGUCUGAGCACACAUUAUUACUGAAUGGCACUCAGACUACACACAUACAGUUCAAUUGCAAUGGAGCCAAAGUCUUUCCCAUAGUCUUUCAUUAUACGAAUGGACUCCAUGUCAUAGCUAUCUGGGGUAUCACCGCUCAAACAGGGCAAGCACCGAAUGACCCAGCUUUCGUGUCUUUGCAGGGGAAAAUGAAGCGUUUCAACAUGGGGCCAUAGUCUAAAGGGAGCAGGUGGGCAACCAGGCUUUUCCAAUGCAAUGUGGCGAGAUUGCCCUCGUCACAUGCAGUGUUUACAUUACAGCCUAGGGAUACCUCCACUGGCCACUCCUCAGAUGGCUAUUAGAGAUGCUUCACUGCCAUUCAGUGUCUCCACCCACUGCAUGGAGACUGAAAUUUCCUCAUCAAGAUGCAUGGAUUCAAUAGAGCUCUGCCCUGAACUGCCUCCUUGAGGGUCUCAGCCAAUCCUAUGGGGAAGUAUUGUGAUUGGCUCAGAACAACACUUCUGAUUAUGUCAGCCAAGUAGGCAGAUCGGGGCAGAGCCAGCAGCUGCAGACUUAAACAAAUUUAAGAGUUUACUAUAUUUAGGUGGGCAGAUGGUGGUUUUAACACUAUAAGGUCAAGAAUACACAUUUGUGUUCAAGACCCUUUAGUGUUCCUUUAAGGAUUCCUACCCACUAUUUUUUUCUUUAUAUUCAUUUUCAUACACCUAUUUUCACUUAUUGGUAAUAAUAUUUCUCUGACAUUUACAUCACUAUUGGUGAAGAUUAUAUUGACGUUUAAAUUUCUCUUAUCUCCAAACGAUUCCUACCGACCUUGACACUGUUGGCAUAUUUCCCCCAUCAACGAUAUAUUAAUUAUUUGUCUUGGAUUGCUAUCAUAACUUUAUUACUGUUAGACAUGUGUUAUACAUAGACUGGUAUAUAUUUGGACCAUGAUCAAUAAUCUGCAUGUGAUUUCUAAGAGUGAUACAUGCAUUUACUUUGAGGACAUCGCUUAUUACCUGGAUGAUCAGGUUUUCUGUCAACUGCAACCAGGGCCGUCUUUAAGGAGGGGCAAACGGGGCAGCUGCCCUGGGCCCAGUUACUCAUGGGGGGCCCAAGGCAGCUGCCCCGUGGGCCCCGUCGCCUGCAAUAAAAAUUUAUUUUUUUAAAAUAUUUCCCUACCUAAUGGGCCCGCGGUGCUAGUAUUGCGGCUGCACCGGGGACUGCACACUAAGGGGGCCCACCAGGUGGCCCAUACCUUUAGGGCCACCCAGUGAGCAUGUUCCAGCAGGGGUCCGGUCGGCACUGUGGCCCUUUAACAGCGCAACCGGGUCUUUGCUUAACGGCUGCAUGGGAGGAAGUGACGUCCGCGAAUCACUUCCUCCCACCUCAAAGACAUCGGGCCGCGCGGGAGGCUGCUAGCCAGGAUCCAGUGAGGAGGGGGAGCAAGGAGAGCCAGACCCCCAACUCCCAGCUACCCCAGCUAGCACACUGGACCCCAGGGAAGGAAGCCUCUUUCAAAGGUAGGAAACUGAAGAGUGUCUGUCUGUGUGUGCGUCAGUUUGUAUGUCUGUCUGUGUGUCAGUUUGUAUGUCUGUGUGUGUGUCAGUAUGUAUGUGUCAGUCAGUAUAUGUCUGUGUGUCAGUUUGUAUGUCUAUGUGUGUGUCAGUAUGUAUGUCUGUGUGUAUGUCAGUAUGUCUGUAUGUGUCAGUUUGUGUGUCUGUAUGUAUGUCGGUGUGCCAGUCAGUAUGUCUGUGUAUGUGUCAGUAUGUCUGUCUGUCACAGUGUCAGUAUGUCUGUCACAGUGUCUGUGUGUGUGUGUGUGUGUGUGUGUGUCGGUGUGUAUCUGUAUGUUGUCAGUAUGUAUGUAUCUGUGUGUGUGUGGCAGUGUGUAUACCUGUGCAUGUAUCUGUAUGUAGCCAAUGUGUGUAUCUGCAUGUUUGUCAGUGUUUGUAUCUGCAUUUGUCAGGUUAUGUAUCUGUGUGUCUGUAUGUUGUCAUUGUGUGUGUCUGUGUAUCUGUAUGUUGUCAGUGUAUCUGCGUGUGUGUGCGUGUGUGCAUCUGUGUGUCUGCAUGUGUGCCAGGUUGUGUGUCUGUAUGUGUGUGUGUCAGUGUGUGUAAAUGUGUCUGUAUAGCUGCAUCUGUAUGAUUGUGUAUAUCUGUGUAUCUGCAAGUGUUUCUGUGUGUGUAUGUGUAUCACAGUGUGUGUGUGUUUGUGACAGUGCAUGUGUAUUUGUGCAUACAUCUCAGCAUUCAACACUACACGCAAAUACACACCUGCAUUCAAACUUCAACACUACAUAUAAGCACACCUCUUUUUUUAAACAACAAAAUUAUAUAUAAACACACCAGUGUAUUCAUAAACCAACACUACACAUAAAUGCAUACUUGCAUUUAAAUGCCAUCUCCACAUACAAACACACCCCUACAUUCACACAAACAUACUCCAUACAAAAACAUGCUUACACUCAAACACACAAAUACUGCUCAGUGCUAAAUAUAACCCUGCAUGCAUGGGAAAAUGGUAGCGCCCCAGCUGUCAAAGCAUUGUUGGAGUUGCAUGACAGAUGGGGAUCUACCUUUUGCCCCCUCUUGCCCAAAAUAAUUCAUGCACCAGAGCCCUCUCUACUUUACGUCCGCCUCUGCGUUGGGGUGGGGGGCAUGAUUGCAUGCCAGGGAGGGGACGACCGGGUUCAGGGUGCCCAAGCAAAUGUUUGCCCAGGGUCCAAUCCAUAUUUAAGACGGCCCUGACUGCAAUUGUAGAUCCACAGGAAACAUAUAGGGAUCUAUAUGCAUGCAUAGUAUGAUUACCUUGUAAUGAAUGAUAUACAUAGUGACCACAUAACCUCAAGAUACAUUUGAGAUAGAAACACAUAUGUUUUUUUCUUGUAAUGCCUUAAGUCCCCCAGAGGACAAUUCCUGAUUUUUUUUUAAUGAAUUGGGUAUUAUCACAUAUCUUUCAACCUUGGGCUAUGGCACAUACUAUCCCAUCAUUUGAUUGAUGUCUCAUGAUGCCCACUAUAUAUAGCUAUGUGAUGUAUAUAUGAACAUUGUUCAUAAAGGAGAAAGAAGGGAAGUGAGAAAAGGAAAAAUAAUUUAUUUAUUUUGUGGGGGGGGGGGGUGGCAAAAUCAAGCAGUUUUCAUGUGACGAAGGUGCACAAAUGCACAUCGAACUUUACUUUAUCUCUUUCUUUAGCACUUUAGGGUAUCACUAAUAUGGUGUCCUUCUAGAAAGUUAACUUUUGUUUAUGGCUAUUCCUCCUAUGUUUCAAUAGUAGCUAUGCGUUAUUCCAUUAACAGCUAGGAUCUUGCGGAAAAGUAGGUCCCAGGUAAUACACCUGAAGACUGAGGUAUCGGUGAUGUCAUGUAACUAGGUAUUUGGAUCCUGUGUUUAAGUAGGUCCCCGGUGUAUACCUGCAGACUGAGGUAUUCCCAGAACUUUCAUCUAUGUUCUCUCUGCAUUAAUAUUUCGGAUUCUAUGGUUCAGUAGGUACCAGGCAAUUUACCUGGAGACUGAGAUAUCUGUGAUGUUAUUUGAUUAGGGAUAUAGGAUGUGGGCUAGCUUUAAAAUCUUAAGUAAAUUAUAAUAAGACUGGGAAUCUUUUCAUUUAAAGUAACACUAUUGGAUCAGGAACACAAACAUGUAUUCCUGGCCCUAUAAUGCUUUUUAGCCGCCCUACCCCCCUCCCAUUGUGCCCCUUAAAUAUAGCAAAAACACCUAAUUUCCAGCGCCCCCAAUCCACCUUCUUGGUUGACAUAAUCAGAAUUGGUGAUCUCAACCAAUCAUAAUGCUUUCCCAUAGGAAAGCAUUGGAUUGGCUGAGGUAAUUAACUUUGAUGAUCUCAGCCAAGGAGGCAGAGACGGAACCAAAUACAGCCCUGGUGAAUCAGCAUCUCCUUAUAGAGAUGCGUUGAUUCAAUGUACCUAUAUAGGGAAAGUUCAGGGUCUCCAUGCUCUAUCAGUGCUGCACACGUGCAUUACUGCUCCAAGAAGCACAUCUAGUGGCCAUAUGAGGAGUGAUCAGUAGAGAUAUUCCUAGGCUUGUAAUAUCCUCUGAAAAGGCGGUGUUUACAGCAAAAAGCUUGCAGGAACUUAUUAUACUAACCAGAACAACUACAAUAAGCUGUAUCCCUUGUGACUAUAGUGUUUCUAUAAGAUUGAGUACAUGAUACCAGAGAUAAUCUCUGUAAUACUAUUUUUCGUGGUAAUUAACUGACCCAUAUUUCUCUUUGUAAAUGCAAAUGAUAAUCUCCCCUACAUGAAAUGACCCCUACAUGAAAAAAGCUUCUUGAGUAGGGAGAUGAACCCUUUCUAAUCUUUAAAAUUUAAGAGAGUAUAACAUUUUUAUGUGUUUAUGUUGCGGAAUAUCUUGUACAUAAUUUGUAGCUACAGUGUUAGAAAGUCUUGUGUGGAAAGAAAUGCAAAAGAUAGAUAUAGAGUUGUAUUUUCUUAUAUAUUUGAAUGCAUUAUAAUGAAGGUGUGGCAAAACUAGACACUAGAGACUAUUAAUGUAUGAGUAUGUGUGCAUUCUUGCUAAGCCAUAAAGAUCACUGCAGGAUGCUAUUUGUAUUUCAGGCGAAUGAGGGCAUUCGGAUGCUGGCGGUAGGAAAACCCCAGCAUUCAUACUGUAGUUUCACGAACAGUGAGUUUAAACACUGUUCGUGAAAUGAAUAACAUACCGAAUGCACGACCACACACAGGGGGUCGUGUGGCGCCCAUUAACCGAUUGCAACAUUGUUGCAAUCGGUAAUUAAGUGUGCUUCUAGGUGGACGUCGUUCGACUACCGACCACGCGGCGGUCGGCCAUCUUGUUUCUUUUGUUAGCCCAGCGGUGUUUUGCCGUCGAGCGCCUGGAACUAAAAACGGCUACUCGACGGUGCGAACACCGCUGGACUUCCAGGCCGUUCGGGAACCCCGGCUGUUCGGUAGUUUAUCCCCCUUUUAAUAAUCUGUAUUUUAAACCUAUGUUAGAAAUAAUGUGUAUUUUGUGCGGCGUUCGGUUAGUUAGACUGGGAGCUGAGCGGUAUUCUCACGAACUGUGCGCUCAGCCUCCAGCUAUCUACCGAACGUCCAUUCGUGUAAAACAAGUGAAUAUUAGUAAAAUUAUACAUUUUAAUGUAAAAUGUAAGUUCUGCUGCACGGAGGGAUAAUCCCAUUAACGGUAUAUUCCAGUGGGAGUAUCCCUCUCGUCCAGCAGUGCAUGAUGGGAAAAAUUUAUGUGUUGGUCAGUUCCCCAAGUAGUCCCCUACUGUACAACCCCUGAAAUGUCAGUAGGGAAACCCAUUGCAUGGGGAAUCCCAUAAAUACCGUGACCUGAAAAUAAACCUCAGUUGACCUCCAAGCUAUGUGUCGUCUAGUUCUUGGGAGGAAGGGAUUGUAACUACGCUACCUGGAUUUUACCUGCUUUGUACCUGCUUAAUUCUGUCUACCAGUGGAGAUACCGUGGAUAAUACUACUACUCCGCUACAGAAGUGUUAUGCUCUAGGCCAGUUCUGGAUAGAAGUGUGUAAACUCGAAGUAGUUUCACCAACUUUUUUAACACUGUAGUUGUCCUUUAACAGAAGGUUUAAACAAUGAUUUCCAGCCAUAAUUAUUUUUCUUUUGAAUUGGGGUAGCCUGCUUCCAUACACAGACUGAUUAGCUUCCACCUAAUUAUAUAUGAUAAUAAUUUUGCUGAAUUUUAUACUAUUUAUGUAUUUUUCCCUCCAGAUUUACUUGGGAAACACUAUUCCAGAGUGGGCAUGGAUUUCCAUCUUUAACUUGACCUGUAGAGCCAUUCGUAAAAACUAUUUUGCCAACAUGAAAUAAAGAAGAUGGUCCUUCAGCAGAACAAGACAGAUUCUCUUGUCUUGGCUCUGCGUUGCUAAGUAGAUUUUGUUUAUCUACCCUCAAAAAUAAACUUGGUGAAUGUUAGACACCCC
RNAcentral lists this long non-coding RNA (78176 nucleotides) under Pelobates cultripes (western spadefoot toad). Lineage: Eukaryota; Metazoa; Chordata; Amphibia; Anura; Pelobatidae. The record is from RNAcentral.